AGAUUCAUUCCUCAUUUCCCCUCUCGAUUCCAAACUUUGCGAAUGACGGAGAAAUUGUCGAUUUUCUCUCAAAUCUCUCUACAUCCCACGAUAUCCUCACACCAUAUCUCAAUUUUCUCUCCUCUAGGUUCAAUUCAUCCAAUAAGUUGGCAGAGGGAAGCUUCCAUCGACGAGGACUUCGAUAAUCUUAGCCCCAAAUUGAGUCGUUAUAGGGUUCUAUCAAACAAUCAUCCAACGAAUUCUUCGAUUACAUAUAAGUGUGAUGGAAGAGAUGAUUUGUUGAUGUGCUGAUUAAUUUGCUGGUGUAGGUCUGGACUUUAAUGGAUACAUUUGCAGUUCUUGUAUCAUUUGAAUAAUUUCUGUUUAAGCGAUUUUAGUUUCAUUUUCUUAGUAUUUGGAUUUGGUUUCAGACUUUUAGUUCUCGUUCAGUUUGAUUACUUCAAAGAUUAAAUGUUGUUAUGGCAUGCUAUAUGUUGCCUACAGAUUGAUAUUAUAAGCCUUACAGACUUUUGGGUUCUAAAUUAUGAAUGAAAUGCAGUUUUCUUUUCAGUUCGGUUGUACUUUGUUGUGUGUUUGUUUACGAGUUUUAGGGAAAUAAAUCCAAACUAAAUUUCGCACCAUACUGGCGGGCCCAUACUGAUGGGAGACGGGCCAUGUUUAAACACGCCAACAGAGGAGAGUGACUGAACGCGCUGGAACUUUCCAAUCCGUGGGCGAGUUUAUCAAAAGUGAUGACAUUACAAAUGGGCUUCUUGAUAAUUAGUUGUUGAGUGGAAUCCAGCUGGCGUAGUUUUAUUGAAUCUUGUUUGUUGUGAAAUACGAUUUCUGCUUACAAAAAUGGAGAACUACUUCCAUUAUUUUCACGGCAGCAAUUAGGUUGGCAAUCCUGUGUAUUUAACCGUUAAAUCGACCGUACCCUCAACGAGUUUGACGUUUAUUAACCACGUUGAUUGGGUAUUUUGCGGUUAUGGUUAUAACCGUUAACCGCUACGAAUGGGUAAGGUUAGGUUAUGGGUUUGAAAAUAACCGAACCAUCACUGUAACCAUACCCAUAACCAUCCCCAACCCGUAACUUACCCUCUAUUUACCCGUAUAUUAUUAAAACAAUAAAGCCCAAUACCAUUUGACUGUCCCAACUCACUUACAUUUUAACCNNNNNNNNNNNNNNNNNNNNNNNNNNNNNNNNNNNNNNNNNNNNNNNNNNNNNNNNNNNNNNNNNNNNNNNNNNNNNNNNNNNNNNNNNNNNNNNNNNNNNNNNNNNNNNNNNNNNNNNNNNNNNNNNNNNNNNNNNNNNNNNNNNNNNNNNNNNNNNNNNNNNNNNNNNNNNNNNNNNNNNNNNNNNNNNNNNNNNNNNNNNNNNNNNNNNNNNNNNNNNNNNNNNNNNNNNNNNNNNNNNNNNNNNNNNNNNNNNNNNNNNNNNNNNNNNNNNNNNNNNNNNCCGCCACGAAAGUGAAUGGGUAAUGGAUAUAACAUAACAAUCCCCGAACCUCCCUGUUGCCAAGCCUAGCCGCGAUGGUUUAGUUUUGUUAAAUGAAUAUUCUUGAUACAUUAAACAAAUACAUUACUUUUAUAAAAACAAAACAAAAAGUGGAAAACAUUGGCACAUUGCAACGAUUUGAUUUUGAAUCGAAGAAUUCCAAAUUCAUAAAAUGUUUGAUUAUUUUAUAUGAUUUUAUAAUUAACGAAAAAAAAAUUAAAUUGAAGUUUUAACCAAUUUACAUCAAAAUGUUCAUUUUAAUUAAUAAGUGCUAGUUAUAUAAAAGUUUUGAACGAAUUGUUUAAGUUAGAUUAUGAAAUCAAAAGUAAAACAUAUAUGAAGUGAAAGUAAAAUGAAUAUGGCUAAAUUUAGCUUUGUAACCAGUGCAGUAUAUUCACUUUUAUAAAACUGAAAAGCCAAAUUUGAGUAUAAAUUUGACUUUGUUAGCUUGUAUCAUAGUGGAUGAUUUUAUGACGAAAAAAAAAUUGAAAGUAUUGUAUAAACAUUUGAUUGAACACUGGGUCUUCUNNNNNNNNNNNNNNNNNNNNNNNNNNNNNNNNNNNNNNNNNNNNNNNNNNNNNNNNACCAUAAGUUAAUUUAAAUUAAGUCUGGAUAAAAUACAAAACAUAUAGAAAUUGUGACUAAAUUUUAGUUCAUUUCAUUUGGCUACAUGUAGCAUACUCAUACGUGAUAUAUUGAUAAUGUAGUAGUGUGGAGAUCCGAUUCCGUGUUGGGAUCCAAUCUACAAAAUUACUUUUCCUUCAGCUGUUUUUCUAUACAGCAGGAAACCAGCCGUUGUGAUUGUGAAAUGGAAUUCUUUUAAGAGAUAAAAUGAGCUAAGUUUUAUUUUAUUGUAUCUGAAUUGUGGUUUUAUAAUACAAUUUGAACGAACGUUGUACAUACUCAUACAAACACUUGUUGUAAAACAAAAGGCUUAUAACUAUCUACAUGUGUUCGGUUAUGUACUUAAUUUUAUGAUAAGAAUUGAAUUAACUCACAUUUUAAUUUAGGUGUUCUUAUUCAUCGAAAUUUAUUUUGAGUAUUCUUAGCUAAGGUUUGUGAAAUAUUAGUAUAAUGUCACUUUCUAUCCAAUUGGAUCUCGUGAUUGUUUGUGACCAAUUUAUAAUCUCUCUCCUUGCCAAUUCCCAAACCCUGCCGGCCUUAAUAGUUAACACUAAACUCUUCUUUUAAAAGGUGACUAAUUCGGGGCGACACAAUCUCCAGAUAUAUAUAAUAAAACCAGGCUGAAACCCAGCCAAGCUACCAUCUUCCCUCCCACCAACUUUCAAUAUUUAUUUACUGUUACAUUCUUUCCUUGCUUGGUAGUAUUGAAAGAAAACAAUGAGGAAGCGCCUCAACAAUGUCAAUAAUACGUUCUCUUUCUCUUUCCGUAUUUGCAGACCCAAAAAACCAGACGCCGUUCCUCCAGCCCCCGCCUAUCGCCUCCGCUCUCCUCCUUCAAACCACAAAAUUAAGCAGCUCCCAGCUCCUCCUCCAACCACUCCCCUCGGUUUCCGCAACGGCGUCGUGGAGAGAGCCAGUCUAUCUGGAGACAUCCUUAUCAAUCUUGACCUCUCCAUGUCGGACUACAGCAGCAGUGACUCCUUUGAAUCCUUGGGCAGGAACGACGCCAAGUGGCAGGCCAGGACCAACAAUUAUCGGAACCGAAUAGACCUAGACAGCUGUGAUUUUGGGCCGGUUCUCCCGGGCCCAACCAUUAAGGCCCAACAAAACAGCGCCGUUGUCACGCCAUGUUCUGACGAGGAGGAGGAGGAAGAGGAGGAGGCCGAGAGCUUGCUUCACUCUUCCAGAAGCUUCUCCUUCGAUUCCUCUUCGUACGACUUCAGCCACGCGGUGGCCACCGAGAGUACUACGACGGCGGCUAGCGAUAGUGAGAGGUCGACUGUGGUGGCGCAGAGACUGAAGGAGAUGAUCAGGCGGAAUGGGUUGGAUUCGAUGAUUAUUGAUAAUCAUCAAUAUCAGAGGAGUACAAUGGGGGAAGCGAUGGCUGUAGUGAAGAAAUCGUCGAAUCCGAAAGAGGAUUUCAAGAGGUCGAUGCUGGAGAUGAUAUCGGAGAAGCAGAUAUAUCAAGGCAAGGAGUUAGAGGAGCUGUUGCAGUGCCUGCUGUCCCUGAAUUCAAUUCAGUAUCAUGAUGAUAUUGUGGAGGCCUUCUCCGAUGUUUGGAAAGUGCUUUUCCUGUGACUCCAUCCUUAUUACUAUUACUUUUUAACUUUGUCCAAACAAUAAAAAACAGAUAAAAAUCAUUCUGCUGCUCGUAUUGGUAACGGUAAUAACUAAACAACUACAACAAAAAAUGUUGCAAUUUAAUUUCUGAACAUUAUUAUUUUAGUUGCAUGUGCUAAAAAGUCUAAAAAUCAACUGAAUUUCUAUUCUUCGUUCUAAUAUUCAAAUAUUUAUUGCGCUAACGGGGCAGUUUUAUUCCAUGGCUUGGAAACCAUGUGUCACACCUUGAUAGAUAGCCGUUUUAUUAAAAUACUCUGACUUCUUACGAUUUAUUAAAUAAUUAAAUUGUCCCGUUUAUAAAAUUUUAAAAUAUAAAAAUANNAGCUCUACUAUGCUCCUGCAUCAACUUACAAAAUACUUUGGUGGGUGAUUUGUGGUCAGUCUCCUGCUCUAAUCAAACUCUAAAUUUCAUUGGAAAUAUUAGAAUAAAGAAACACAUCAAUGUAAUGAAUCAUUAAUAAUUAUCUAAGUAAACAUAUUACAUAAAACAAUCUUUCAUCUUUAUAUAAUCCUAAUAUGAUAUCAGAUGAUAUGCAACAAAUAUCAUAUAACAUUCAUCCUCUAAUAAUUAUCAUCAAGUAAUCAUCUAAUAAUCACCACCAAUAAAUAUUCAUCAUCAAUAAAAAAUCAUCAUCAUCAAGUAAUCAUCAUCUAAUAAUCAUCAUCAAUUAAGUAAUUGUCAUCGAUAAGAAAUCAUCAUCAUCAAGUAGUCAUCAUCUAAUAAUCAUCAUCUAGUAAUCAUCAUCCAUGAAUGAAACUGAAGUCAAAUAAGUUAGGUAUAUUAUGAAAUCCUGAAUAUCAUGGUUCUCGUAACUUAAUAUACCACAAACACCAUUCUUGAGGAAGUCAAUUUACAUGACUCCAAUUCUUGUACUAUCAUUGACCUUAUCUAAGGUAUCUUAUUUCUUGUGAAGCAUCCCCCAACUCAACUAACUAACCCACCAACUUAGCGCUAAAAUUAUAGAGGUAUGGGAGUACGUAUCCAUGAGACGGUAUCAUAAAUCAUAGAGGGCAAACUGUGGCCUGUAAUUCAUGGGGGGGCAAAACUCUGCCCAUACACUACAACAAAACGCGCCCGUUGUGGUGUUUAUCAUAAAGCGAUUAUUUGGGUUAUAACCGCGAGAACGUCUAUUCUCACCAUUAUCAGUAACCGCGGGAAAAUAUACCAUGAUAACGAGCCCGUUUUUGCGGUUAGGUAACCGUGAGAACUGAUAAUACCGUUUUCGCGGUUACGGUUCUCGCGGUUAGGGACCUCAAAACCGAAAGCGAAGUCGUUACUCCAUUUUAUGACGAAUCGUUAACCCAUUCUCACGGUUAUCGCUAUGUCCGUUUUCGCAGUUAUUGUUAUGUCCGUUUUCACAGUUCUGGGUUAUCCGUUCUCUCUGUACUAGGCAGAUUUUUUUUUUUUAAAUUUCCAACCUUGAAUUUGAGUUAACAUUUACAACAUAUGGAGAAGAGAAAAAUAAUAGAAUUUAAUCUUCUUUAUUCGAGUGAUGUAAACAAUGAUGAAAACAUAUGAUUCUAAUUAAUUUUUUGAAGAUCUAGAUAAAAACAAUAUAGAUAUAGAGUCAAACAAAAUAUAUAAAAAAGUAAAGGUUAAUCUAAUUUAUUUUUAUUUUUGUACACUUCUAGAACAACGAAAAAAAAAAUCAAAAGCUAAAAAAUAAAGAUCAUCUUUCUUCUCUUUUUUUUUCUUUUUUUUUUCUUCUCUUUUUGCCCUUUUCUUCAUCUUCUUCUUUAUCUCAUUUUUUCAUUCUUCUUCAUCUUUUUCUUUUCUCUAAAAAAACAUCUUCAUCUUCAAAUUUUCUUUUUUUUUAAACAACUAUCAUCAUCUUCUCUUUUUUAUGAGUUGUGAAAAAAUUAAUUAUUGAAAUUUUUUUAUGGAUAAAAGAAAGUUUUGGAGAGUUAGAAAAUUUGAGAAGAAGAAGAAAAAAAGAAUAGAAAGUUUAUAUAGAUUUCAAUCAACGGUUGUGAUUAAAUGAGACGACAAUCUAUAUCUUCACUAUGAGCUAAUGAAAAGUAGACAUUUAUUAAUUUACAUCCCGUUUUCGUAGUUCUAUUUUCGCGAUUAUGAAUUGCUAGAACGGAUGACGGAAAUAUUUGAUAGAACAAGUUCCUCACGGUUCCUAUAACCACAAGAACGGACUUGGAAAUCAGAAUCCAUUGUGGCAGUUGUACAAACCCCACAACGGUUGCGUCUUGUUGUAGUGAUAAAUCAUAGUGGGCAAAACUGUGGUCUGAAUCAUAUGGGGCGGUGGUCUAACUAGUGAGUUUCAUGUUUUAAAUCCACUUAUUAGGCAUCUAGGUGAGGUGUUCUUGUUUCUUAUUACUGGUCAUGUCUAAUCUUAUCAUCAUCUAACAUUAAUGUUAGUCUAACCUUAUAGUUGUAUAAGAGGAAUAACUUGCACAACAUCAAAAUUAACAUGUCACAAAUAAACACUCAAUCAUGAAAUUAUGACAUAACUUAAAUGCAUCAAAUUAAUUAAAACCUAACCUAACCUACUGCAAUGAUAACAAUUUAUCCCCUUAAACCAACCCACCUUAUUGGCGAGCCGAUAUCUCAGAAAUAUGUCAGAGAUUAUUUCCUUUUCUACCAAGAAACUACGGCCUCAGACGGUGCGUCGUUUGGAGCUCAAACGGUCAUGUUAUGCUCCAAUUACUUCAUUGUAACUUGCUGGAACUUGGAGGGGCUAUUCUGUCAUUUCGGUGCCCAACUGGACAAAUGACCAGUACAGUCCUCAGACUUCUGAUCCUAGCAGGUUCCAUGCCUAACAAACAGAGAACUACAAUCCAGUCAUCCUAAUUUCCAGGAAGAACAGUUCAAUCAAACACCUCCAACUUUACGGAUAUUUCAAAUUGGUCACUUAUCUCUUCGAAACUGCCAAGUGGUCAUCUUCUUCAACCUUUGACUCCGGCGAACACUGGCGCCGCCGGAGAGCCCGUCUCCAGAAUUUGGCGAGGCUCUGGCGAGCUCCAAACUUCUUGGAAACAUGAUUUCUUGACGCCGAUCGAGCACCCAGCGGCCCGUCUUACUCCAGCGAGAUUCUCCCUCGUCGGACAUGCCCGUAUGCACCUCCAACGAGCUCUAAAUUUCGAUAACCAAGGUACAGCCGCCGACCAUUGGCUCUUGGGUUCAGUAUUUCCCCUCAUUAGGAUAACAAAACUCUCUCCCUUCUCACUUCCUCGCUCUCAGCCCACGACCAUUGGCUCUAACCGUUAAACCGACCGUACCCUCACCGAAUUCGAUGGUUAUUAACCGCGUUGACUAGGUAUUUUGCGGUUAUGGUUAUAACCGUUAACCGCUACGAAUGGGUAAGGUUAGGUUAUGGGUUUCGAAGUAACCGCACCAUCACCGUAACCAUACCCAUAACCAUCCCCAACCCGUAACUUACCCUCUAUUUACCCAUAUAUUAUUAAAGCAAUAAAGCCCAAUACCAUUUGACUGUCUCAACGCACUUACAUUUUAACCCUAUGUCCCAACGCAAUACUUUUGCUUUUAAUUUCAAGAAACCUUAUCUCUUAACUCUGUCAGAAUCGCAAAACAUAAAUUCGUCCAUCGACCAUCAUACAUAAAAAAAAUCAUUAAUCCGAUUCAGACUAGUUAUAUAUGAAGAGGGAACGAUUGUACUAUUUCAAUUAUCAGUUUCAUUUUGUUUGGUAUUUCAGUACUUGAAACUUUGAGAUUCAUGUUUUAUAGUAUUGUUUAAAUGUUUCGAUCCUUCCCCCUUGCUAGUUUUGGGUUGUAUUUUGAUUUCAAGAACAAGUCACAAGUACUUUUAGCGUUCUAGAAUGCUAUUGUUAUUAAAUAUUGGAAUUAGAUUUGGAAAUUUUUUAGAUGAAUGAAUGUGUAUGCAUUUUCGACUUUUCAUUCCUUUUUUUUCUUGCAUAUCGGUGGUUAACCGUUAGGAAGAGCGGUUAUAACCGUAACCGGGUGGGUAUAGGGAUGGAAUGAAAUCUAUCACCGAAAUAAAAAUGAUGAUAAUUAUGGUUAAUAAUGGAUAAUGGAUAUGUAAUAAUCAUCCCCGAACAUCCCGUUGCCAAGCCUACUCAUUUGGAUAAAAAAAGGCAGCUCUAAAAAUCCUCCCUUGGUACGGCGCUCAAAAGAAAUCGAAGAAGAAGAUAAUAAGAGCUGCUGCUAGGUGUUUGCUAUGUGCUAAGUUAAGGUUCAAAUUUCAAACUUGGGCUCCUCACACUUUAGUCGUAACGGCCCAACUCAUCCAUCGGAUCCAUCCAACGGUCCACAUUUGAGUUUGGCUUCAGGCCCAUCCCGACACUUAAUCUAACGACUCAGAUCUCUCCUAACUCCUUCAUUGAACAGAUCAAGCAUCCAUCUCCGGCUGUUGGAUUCAUCCAACAAUUUACAUUCCUCCACGACUACCCCUAAUCCAAUAAAAACUUCACUCCAUCUCCGAUUAUCUAGCAACCACAUACUCAACCGAACCUCAAUGAACUUUACUAAUUCUUAAAUUCAGUCGGCCAACAAGUCAACCUCUUAAAAUAAAUAAAUAAUUAAGCAUCAAACCUCUGCUUCCACCAUUCGAGCUAAAUAAAGUUUAAAUAUUUAAUUCACCUGAAAGUUAAUUUCUUCACAUCUUUAAUUGGCUAUUAGACUUGUAAUUAUCACAACAUUAGUCAUAACAUAUGAAAUUAAGCAAUUCACUUAUUAAUAACGACUAACAUAUUAAACGCAACAUAAUUUAUAAUAUAAUACCGAGUCAAAUAAGUUAUCAAUCAGACAACAUUAAUACAUAACUUAGAUGCAACAAAACACAUAGCAAGAAUAAAUACAUUUAACGAUACUAAUAUUUCCUUAACAUGCUUUUCAUAUUAGACAUUCUAAAGGGUAGUUUAGUAAUUCAAUAAAUAUAAUUUUGAUUGUUUGCAGGAUGUAAUAUUUAUCUACUUUAAAUAUGCGCAUGAAUAGAAAAGGGUCAAUUGGGAGAACAUUUAUUAUUUAUUUAGGGUUUUUUUCAUGUAAACAUUAACUUAAGGUCACCAUUAUUUAAUGGUACAACCCAUGCCAUUGUACUUUUUAUAUAAUGGUUUAUGAAGCCAUUCAAAAAUAAAGUAGGGCUGGAAGUUUAACAGGCAUGAUCAAAUUUUAAAUCAAAAUCACCGGGAGAUCAUAUAUGUUCAAUCAAAAUUUUCAAUGCUAUGGUUGAUGUAUUUAUUCUCUAAUCAUUCUUGCUCAUUAAUCAUUCUACUAAUUAGUGUCACAAUAUUUUAUGAAUUCUUUUUAUAAACCGGUAAACCUGAAACCAAUAGAUGGGAUAUAGUUUCAAUAUAAUGCCUGUUUGUACAAACGGGUGAGUAUGUGUUAAAUCCGUAUCAUAUUCAUCCGGGCACCCAUAAUCCGUUGUCUUUAACAGAAUGUUGCACCACCCUCAAUUGAAGCCAAAGAGAAGCUGAAAAGUAGGACAAAAUCCAUGAUGAUGGCUCCACCGGCAACACAUCGCAUGUCCUAGUUAGUAAGUCGAGCAAUGACCAACUUUGCAUCAUCUUCCAUGUAUAUGUGUCAGAAAUAUUCAUAGGAGAAAUGAUCAAUUUUCAAAUCUUACUCCUAUUGCAAGGCUCUAUAACGUUCACCAUUUGUGGUUAAUAUUUGCUUCCAAAAAAGACAAUAUGGUUGACAUCUGAUUAACUAGCUGUUUCAGCCUGGAAUGGUAAAAUGCCUUAAUUUGAAACUAUCUCAAACAAUAGCUAGGGGUAAUACAGUCGUCAGAAAUAUUCACAUACACAAAUUAUCUAUUUUCACAGCCUACUCCUAUUGCGAGGCUCUAAAGUGUCCAUUAUUUAUAAUAAUUCAUCGCAUAAUCAACUUCCUCGCAAAAGAAUUCACACUAGAUCCAGUGUCAUACCUAAAAAUAUCUUGUCAUCAUUCGUUUCUCCAUUUUUAGAGCGUUGUCAAUGAGAUUUUGAAAUGUGAUAUGACUUGGUCAAAUCCUCUGUCUUCUCUCUAGGUACAAAAACCUCCCUAUUUUACAAUCGUUGUGGUUGCCGGUGGCAGCCCUCUUUUCUGUUGUUUGUCAUUUCCUUUCGCUUAUUAUCUAUUUCAUGCGUUAUGACUUUUUUUUGUCUCGGAGCUUUCUCCUCCCUAUGAGUAAUUUGAUUUCGAAGGUUUGAGGUCAAAUCUAACCCAUGUGGUUGCAUGGUUGGUUUCUUAUUUGAUGAUUCAAAUUUGAUGUCUUUCUCCAAGAUUCAAAGGGUGCUGUUGCACGACCAACUCAGCAGCUGUAAAUAUGGGCAAAUUUCUUUUUGCCAUCGUGCCAAGUAGAACAAAUGUUCCAUCCGCAAUUGAAUCCAACACAAUGAGCUUCAAUCAGUGUUUAAGAAAUUUGGGGCAAAAAGUUAAGGCAGAUGAUAAGGAAAGACAUAAAUAAAAUACUCUAAUGCAAACUAGUCUGAUAUCCGGCCGCUUGGUCGGUCUUCUUUAUAUUUUUUCUUGCGAGUCAGGGUUUCAUUUUUUUACUAUGAUCAUUCAAAAACCUGAAAUACUGCUAAUAAUAAUAACCAAACCUGAAUAACACUAAUAUGAAAUACCUUUACAUUAGAGAAUAUAAAGAAAGACUAACAUAAAUGUGAAAUAGCUAAAUGAGAUUGUGCAUACUCGCUUUGCAUAUCUGCUUGCAAUCUAGUAAUAGUCUGCUGCGUAAGAGAAUAUGAAAACACUACUCUAAGUGAUUACUAAUGAAAGUUGAUGUGAUUAUGCACAUCUUCCAUAGUUCAUAAUAUAUAAAUUAAUUACUAAGUAUCAAUCUUCAGUAGAAUCUAUCAGCUUCCUUCUUUUGAUGAUCCUCUUUUUUGUUGUUGCUAGUGGCAUGUCAUCUGUAAUGUCAUCUUCAAGCUCAUCAUCUAGUUUAAUUGGAAUUCCAAUUAUACCUUUUCCAGCAUAACUGUUUGCAAGCAGAUCCGCAGAGGUUGGAGAGUCAUUGUUUGUGGAUGUUGUUUUGGUUUCAACACUUGUAAUGAUGCUGCCAAGUGACUGAGAAGACAUGUGCCCACUUGAAAGAAUAGGAUCCGUUUCCUACAAUAAUAGAAGAAUGAAUUAGAGCAAUUAUAAUGUGAAAAUUUUUAAUCGAAUGUGAACUGGUAUCAUAAAGGUAGUUAGUACAAACCUGUUUUGUUGGAGAUGGAGGUGUAAGUUGCUCAUCGAGAAUCCUAGACACCGUAUAUUCUGUUUGUGGGUAUGCUGAAAUGUAUGAUGGUAGUUUGAUUUGAAAAUUGAGUUCCCUAUCAGCUAACAGUUGCAUCAUGAGUUCAGGGGUGGUGUUGUGACUCUUUCCAUUUUGCUCAUAUAAUUGGCUUGCUGAAAGUUUGAAAAUCUUGUUGCCUUCAUAGUUAAAGAUGACAAACUUUGUUUCUGAUGUAGCAUCUUGGACGUAUACUUUCACAAGAAAUCUGUAAUUGAGUGGAUCAACCAUUAGAUAUAUUAUAAGCAUUACUUCAUAUGAGAAACAAAAGAUAAGCAGGUUAGAAACUGAUUACUUUUUUGCUGUUGUAUUGAAUGUCUUCUUACAUCGGCCACAAUAGUAAUCUUUCUGACCUUCUUCUACUUUCAAUGGACAGUUUGAGCACCCAUUAUAACACCACACGCUUUCUAUAUCCUUCACUCUGCACCUUACUGUACAAUAUUUGUUCUGUAACAAUAAAACGUUAUCAAUAAUAGUUGACAGAAAGAAAGGAUUGUGUGAAAGCUUUAACUUUUCUCAGAUGAUACCUUCAUUUGUUCUUCAUUGGUCAGACCACAUAGCUCUACAAUAGAUGAUGUAGGAGUUUCUUUACAUUGUUAGAAUCUAUAAAAAUUGGUGGAGGAAGUGCAUAUAUGUUGUUUCUCGUUUGGUCUCUGUAGAAGUAUAUAAGAUGGUAGUAUUAAUAAUGUUAUUCUGCAGCCGGUUAUGUGAAUGUAAAAGUUACUACAAUAUAACAUAAUACAUACCCUGGCAUGAAGUUCAAAACCUCUGGUGUAUCAAGAUUAAAGUAAAGCCUGGUAAUCGUGGAAGAAGAGAGUAUUUUUGCUGAAAAAUUAGAUUGUAGUAGUUAAACUUUAUUUUAUAUCCAUGGCAGCAAAUUUUUCUUGAAAUUAUAAAGAUAUAGUGGCCUCACCUCCAAAACCAUAGACAUACGUCGAUGUUACUAUCAAGAGGAUACCUUUAUCCCCAUGGGCGCUGAUGAGUUCAUCAAACUGUGUGGCUGCCCUAGACCAUAAUCUAACGUUAACUAUGGUUCCCCUAUCAUUUACACAUAAAAACUGAGGGUGAAAAAAGGAACAAACAAUUGAUACAAAAGAAUUAACUAAUUUAGUCCAAUACUCACUCUUUCAGUUUGAUUUCAAUGUCCUUCCGUGGAUUUCCAGAACUCUUAUCCGUCUCAGAAUACUUGAUGAGGUGGCCAAUCACAUCUGAUAAAAGUUUAAACAGAAAUUGAUUAGGAAGAAAGAGUCAUAAGCUGAGUCUGGAAAAGUGUUCAUCACCUGAUAGUAUCUCUCUUUCAUUCCAUAUCAGGUCAAUCUCAGUCAGAUUAAUGAAGGAAAACUUGUAUCAUGGGAUUUCAGAGACUUGGUCUGAAGCUUCAACUAAGGUGGAGGGUGUAAACUGUAUUAUAUACUUGAAUGCCACAGGUCUAUAUCCUCCUUUUGGUACCGUGAUCUUGAAGUUUUUGAAAAUGUAGACCUUUUGUUCUUCAAGUGUCUCAUCAAACCGUUGAAUCAAAUAAGCUGGAAUCUGCGUCCAAAUGUCAUUCCCCUGAAAUGUAGUUUGUGAUAAUAUCAGCUUACGUGGUUUGUGAGAAUAUAAGCUUACAUGAAUGUAUUAGAGCAAUAAUACAAAAACUUAAUAUUGCUAAACUUGUUUACCUUGGAAUCUAUUAAGAUCAUUUCCUUGCGCAUCACAGCAGUUGAAUUCACCUUGAUUGCCAGCCACAUUCUUGAGACUCGAGCUUUCAGAAUCCAUUUGGUUGGCACUUCAGAGAACUGGUCGACAGAGUGAAAUUCCAUAUUUUCAAGAUUUCUGAAAUUUGAGUUGUAGGAAUAUCUUUACAGCAUAUGACAGUGUAUAUAUAAGCAACAUCAUGCAUAGGUUUAAAUAUAACAGUUGGAAUGAGCGGUUUUUAACAAAGUGGGAGUGAAAUGUGGAGGUCAUGUUGAAAGGGUGGAGAAAUUCGUGCAAAUGGAAGUGAUGGGGUGUGGCAGUUGAUUAAGAGAAGAAAAUACAUAUGUACCAUCUAUGUAUGAACUUAAAUCAGUGGUUAAUUCUUUCGUGGUAGGUGGAGAUGGAUUGAUUGUCAUUAUAAUGUGAAUAAAUAUGUGCUAAGAUGGAUUGAUUGUCAUUAUAUUAUAUGUAUAUAAUGUGAAUAAAUAUGUGCUUCGAAAACCAGUUGUUAUUACGAAAGAAGUAUGGUUUCUGAUUAAAUACAGUAUUAAAUAAAACCUAAUUUUUUAUUAUGGGCAGAUUUCUGGGCAGGUUUUUGGGUAGGUUUCUGGUCAAAUUUCUGGGCAGGUAUCUGGUCAGGUUUUUUUUACUGUCCAAGUUUGCUUCAUAUAUUCUGUUUUAGUUGACUAUUUUUCUGUUUCUUGCGAACGAUGUUUUGGCCUCAAUAUCUUAUGUUCUGGCCAGCCCGAGUCCAUUUUCCUUUCCAGGACAUGUAAUAUUGCUGGUUAGAUAUAUGAGAUGAGAACCAAUUAAGAGACACGUGGUUAGAUGAGAUUUACAUUAUCUAGCAAAUGAGAACAAACUAACAUUAUCUCAUAGCAGAGGACUUCGUAUGCAUGAGAAAGCAAAUUAGACAAUGUCAGACAGCUAAGUUAAUAGAUCACAACCUACCUGAACUAAUCAUCAAAAGAUGAAGCAAAACUCAUUUUUAGUCACUAAUGUAAUACAACAUACUUUGGAUAGAGUAUAAUGUAAUGAAAUGCAAACCAUUAACAAAUAGUACAGCUAAAUGAAUCUGAAUUUAGGAUUUCUAAAACAUAGAUUUGAUAAACUCUCGACUGGGUCAUAAUCAUUCUCAAAUUUCCUCCUUUGGAAGAAUAACUUGACUCACAAACUUUGUGUUCAUCUCGAGAUCCUAAGUGAACAGAAGAGUCAAAGAGAAACAUACUCUUCCAUAUAGAUUUCGUAUCUACAAACAAAUACGUAAUAGCAAAAUCAGAUACUUUCACAUUAGAGAUCCCAUAUCAUACCUUAAAGGGCGUUGUGAUAAAAGCAACCAUUUUUAUCAAAUGGUUUGUGCAGUUGGUUCGUAAUACUAAUUUCUUGGUAAUUAUUUGUUUAAAUACAUAAUACUAAUUUUAUGCUACACCGACCCUCCUAUCUAAGUCAUGAUUAUUUACGGUCAGGCAUUUGAAAGGUACUUUGAGGAUACAAAUUACAUGAAAAUUAAGUUCUAUAUUACCUCAUUGCAAGUCCAAUCCAGCAUUCCAUAAUUUGCAGGUGUAGAAGAGAAGAACAUGGAAAUCACAUUCAGAACUUUCAAUCGCGGGGAAAGCAAAGGUCCCGUGUAUCUUGUUGUUAGCGUGUGUUGCAAUCGAGACAUCAAGGGAGACAUGGCGGGGUGUUGUGCUGAUUCACAACAUUUCAUAGUGGAACAGUGAGUUAACCACGAUGAAGCAAAUAAGUUAUGAAUCAUUUUUUUAUAGAUAGAGUAGUAAAGACUAAACUAUUUUACCUUCAGUAGUGAUGAUCUUUAGUUUAAUAUCUCCCGAAAGACUAUAUUUCUCAUGGUCCGUUUCUCACUCCCGGCUUCGUCACAACUUAUGAUUUGCAGGCCUGCCUUUGUAGUCACCCUUGAGAGUGCCACAUAUAAUUGUCCAUGAGUGAAUACUUGCCUUGUAAGACAUAUUCCAACUUUUUUCAAAGUUUGGCCUUGACUUUUGUUGAUUGUCAUUGCAAAACAUAAUGCAAUAGGGUAUUGCCUCCGAAGAAGAGUGAAGUUCAAACUUUUUUGCUCUGAUGACAUUGUAAGUCUAGGAAGGAAAACUCUAUUCCCGACAUUGGUUCCUGUUACUAUUUCAACAUCAAUUGACCACGUGCCCAAGUUUCUAAUGAGUAAUCGAGUACCAUUACAAAGGCCUGCUGCUUGAUCAAUAUUUCGCAACAAUAUGACUGGCAUGCCAAUUUUAAGCUUUAAUGCAUGAUCUGGGAAGUUCCCAUUUUUCAAGUUGUUUAAAAACUCAGGUGGGAAUUCAGCUUCACUAUCUGACUGAUUAAUUGCAUCGAAUUGAACUGAGUCUGAGCUGUAGUAGCAUACCUCUCCUCCGGGGAAUAGCUCCGGCAUAUAAUCAUUAAUCAGCGAUACGUUGUCAUGAAGAGGUGCUAAAACUUCACGGUCUGCAAAAUAAUUUGGAUCCCCAUAAUGCUAGACAAUAUUAUCAUAUGUUGAGUUUGCAAUAGCAGCAAUUGGAUCGGAUCCUAUGUCGGCCUUUAGUUCUUCAGUCCCACCAAAGCCGUCUACAAAGAAUAAUUGACCCAGAUCUCCAUAUACUGAAGAUACAAUUUGAUCAAAAGCCUGCUUUUGUUCUGUAUUCAGUUUUGGAACCUGAAUAUCAAACUGAGCACCCAAUGCCACAUGAUCAUAAUUUAAUUCUUCAGCAAGUAGAGCGUUGGAUGUAGUGAAUAAUGUAUCAACAUCUACCGUUGGCAAACCUGGAAAGUCAGCUAAUGUUUUGUCGAAUCUUUGGAGAAUUUCAGCAAUCUCACCUAAACAAACAUUAUGUAGUUCUUCUGGAGUUAGCUGCAGUUGAGGCAUCUUUAAUUGAGGCAUCUUUAGUUGUGUACGCCUGAGAUAUAAGAUAUCAUCAGACAUUACUUCCCAAUUUCUCAGUGAAAAUGAUCUGACAUCUGUUACUUGACAAUACAUAAUCAUAGUAACAAAAAAGGUGCGUAGGUGGCGUGCAGAAGUUGUAAGAGCAACUUCUCGAAGGCAUUGAUGCCAUUCACCAUCAUCUGCUAAAAAACCAUAAGCUGCACAUGCAUUUUUGAAGGAUUCAUGCACGAAACCAUUUACCGUUUUGAUGUCUUCAAAACUCCUGCAACCUUUAACAACAUGAAGUAACAUUCUCAAAUAGAAUCUCUCCUCUGCAGCUGGUGGACAAUAAUAUAAGCGGCCGAUUUGAAUUUUCCUUUUCCGCAAAUGCCAUUUUUUGUUCUGUUUCGCAAUAAUAUAAGCGACCAAUUUGAAUUUUCAUUUUCCGCAAAUGCCAUUUUUUGUUCUGUUUCUCCCAAACAUAAUGUUGAGGGAACUCAAUGAAGGUAAACUGUCUAGCAUGAAUUUAUUCCCGGUUUAUUUUCAUCCACUCUAACAGCAUCGACGUUUGAGCUCGUCGUGAUAGAACUAAUUCUUCCAUUAAAGAAUCGUCAUUGGAAAUUAUAGGCUGCUCUUCAGGCAAAUGACAUGACAUGCGAAGGACUGCUGGAGAAUUACUAUAAAGAUCAAACUUGAAUAUCCUCCAGCAUGCUUCGCCUGGUGUUAUAUAUCGACAAUCCAAAAAUGCCUUAAUUUCAUCAAUGUUAGCUGGAGUUUUAGAGGUUGGCCCUGCAAAGCUAGUGGAAUUUGAAGGAUUAUUCCCAAUGAUUAUGGCCUUAGCACGAUCAGGAGGUUUAUUGAUAUACUUGAAUAAAUAUUUUAUUGCCCUGCAAGAAUAGGUAAGAUGUACACAUUAGAAGAAGUAUAUAAACGCAUAUUUCUGCUCGUCACUUGAACUAAUUUAAUUAUUGGCGUGAGUAUCAAGAUUCAACUCAAAUUAACCGGAGUUCUCCUUAUUAUCGAUUUCGUGAAGUAUAUUAAUCACCACGCAUAAGUAUAGUUGUUCAAUCUUCAAUUUAGGUUUACAGGCAGGUUGUUUGGCUGUUCAGUGAAAUUUAUUGUAAUUGAUAAGGCAAGGUCCAAACUUGAUAAAAAGAAAUAAGGUAAUUACAUUAAACUAUUGGAUAGAGCGGUCCAGAAACAUUACCAAUAGGUGGAAAAACCAUGUAAUUUAUCAAUUGUAGUAAAUGAUCUAUGCAAGAUGAAACUGAUCCAGACCCUAAUCUGAAGGAACAAAAUUCUUGGCUUUCAUUAUGAUUUUAAAUAUAAUAAUUCUUUCAUAUGAACUUGUCUCAAAGGCUUGAUUUAGGGAUAGUGGACCUAAUAAUGGUUUUAAGUGAGACUUAGACUAAACUUGUGAUUAAGAGCAACCUUGGUUAUAAGACCAACUUAGUCUAUCACUAAUUUUUGCUCACAGACAUGCAUUCAUUUAGAGUUUGAAAAGAGUUAUUUUCAUGUAAGAUGAAACUUAGACUUAGGUCACUACACACAAUUCACAGAAUCCAAGAAAAAUCUGGUUAAAAGAAUACAUUGAAAUUGAUACUAACCUUGACUUGUUGCAGAAUUCAACAUUGAUAUGUGCAUCAAAAAAAUUCAACAUUGAUAUGUUCAUCAAAACGCAGUAAUAGAUAUCGAUUGUAGGGAACCACAAAGCGAUUAUCCAGUUUAACAUUGUCCUUUGCAAUCCACCUACCAUUUGACGUCAUUUGUAUCGUGGAAAUCCAUCACCAUCUACACACGUCUCGGGGCAAAACUUUUUUGGGAAAUGCUUAGUACAUUUACCAUCUACAGUGCAUGGGGAUUUAGGACAUGCUGCACCGCAAGGACCAUGAAACAUGAACUUUUCAACUGCCUGAUAGCACAAAGGGUCAAGAAGAGGAUCAGGUAUCUCUGCUGAAAUAACUGCAUCAAUAGAUUGAGCAUCAUGGAUUUUGUCUUCUGUGGAUAAAAAUAUUAACAUAUGAGCAUGAGGAAGGCCACGCUUUUGACGGACGAUUAUGGAUAGUUGAGCUGCUAUAUAUUUGUAAUAAAUCCAUUCCCGGUUACUCAAAAGAUAAUUUAUAAGCACCUAAACCGAACCAUAUGUAAUAUACCAAAGAUGUUAAUCAUGUACGUUGACUUCUAAAGAUAAACAUACAGUUAGAGUUGAAGAGAAAAUCCAUGUAGUUCAUAUCUAUUUCACAGAGACACAAAGUAAUAAAAGCAACGUCUAAUAAUAGGUCAAUGAUCAUAUGCAUAGUUUUUGAACUACUGUUGUACUUACAUGGGAUGAAGUAGAAUAUAUUGUCCAGGAAGAGAAACAAAUUAUAAUGACAAACAUAAAUAAUAUAAGUGCAUACUUACAUGCAGCAGUUUUUCCAAAAAUCAAUUGAUUUUUUAUCUCAUAAAUCAAUUGAUUGAGCUUGGUCUUGAAAACUCGAGCAAUAACAUCGGCCCUAUUAGGAUCUUUUCUCUCUGUAUCUCUAAUCAAAUUGACCAUGAGUUGAAUUUCCGGCCAACUGCUUCUAGAGAUAAACGUACAGUUAGAGUUGAAGAGAAAAUCCAUGUAGUUCAUAUCUAUUUCACAGAGACACAAAGUAAUAAAAGCAACGUCUAAUAAUAGGUCAAUGAUCAUAUGCAUAGUUUUUGAACUACUGUUGUACUUACAUGGGAUGAAGUAGAAAAUUUAUAAGCACCUAAACCGAACCAUAUGUAAUAUAUAAAAAAUGUUAAUCAUUUAGGUUGACUUCUAGAGAUAAACAUAUAGUUAGGGUUGAAGAGAAAAUCCAUGUAGUUCAUAUCUAAUUCAUAGAGACACAAAGUAAUAAAUUAUAUAAGUGCAUACUUACAUGCAGGAAGAGAAACAAAUUAUAAUGACAAACAUAAAUAAUAUAAGUGCAUGCUUACAUGCAGCAGUUUUUCCAAAAAUCAAUUGAUGUUUUAUCUCAUAAAUCAAUUGAUUGGGCUUGUUCUUGAAAACUCGAGCAAUAUCAUCGGCCCUAUUAGGAUCUUUUCUCUCUGUAUCUCUAAUCAAAUUGACCAUGAGUUGAAUUUCCGGCCAACUGGAAUUGCAGGUGAAAGUAAUAAAUAAAUCUGGAUAUCCAACCCAACGACAAAUUGCCAUGGCAUCUUGAAAAUUUUCAUAUUUACAUCGAGGACGGCCGUGGUGAGAUGCGGCUAAAAUCGUGCGUUUCCUCGUUUGGUCCAAAUCUGUAUCACCUCGCAUGUAUGCAUCGACCAAUCCACGAUAGCAAUGAGAACGUAACUUGGUUUGAUUAUUCUUAACCCACUCCAAUCUUUCAGCCUCGAUAAAAGCAUAUGCAUUCACCACAUACUGUUGAAGCAGCCGUCCAGACAAUAAUAAAUGUGAUGACUCCUCAGUUCUUGUUUGCAGUCUGUAAGCAUAAAAGUCACAUUGUGAUACAGUCGUCACUGUUUCUGUAGGUUCUUGUACGGGGAUGUUUUCAUGCCAUCCAUCCUCACCAUAAGGAAACAACAAAGGAUAUUGUAAUGCCAUAAUGCUGGGAUGUUUGAAAUGCAUUCUCUGGAGUUCUGAACUUUGAUGUUCGACAACUAUGUCAGGUUGAUAUGAAGCACCUCCAGUUUCAUCAACUAUUAAUGCUGCUAAUUCAUCAACAGUGGGUAAAUCAUAUUCUCUACCACGAUCGCUUCUCUCUACAAGUAGCUUCAAUCUGACAGUAUGCACAUCUCCAGCAUUCAUUCUAUUGCGAGCAUACCUGAAAGCCUUAACCAAGACAUUAUGCUCAUCUAGCAUGUUACUGAAUCCUUGAAGUAUGGACUGUCAAAGAGGAUUUGUAUUUGCAUUAGCGUUGAAGGAGUUUAACCGAUGCACAAUCUCAUUCUCACUAUCAUGAAUAUAUAUCUGGAGGAACAUUGGAGGUUGACCUUCUGGAGGGAUUAGUGAGCCAAUACGAUGAAAAAUUUGGCCGCCAAUUGAAUAAAUAUAAGCACCUCCUCCGCCAUUGAGUCUGUGAUCAACCUUUCCCCCCAUUGAUGUGAAACAGAAGACUCCGUUAAAGCCCUAAUGUAUUUGUGAAAGUGAUGAGUGUGCUGACCAAUGGAUUGCAGUAAGUCCUUCAAAUAUUUUGGAGGUUCCCUUACUUGAGCCAUUUUAACGUUGCCUUUAUUGUAACAGAGUUGAAAUGUAGGCAGUGAAACUCUCCGUGUAGCCCAUGUACUUUCCGGCUGCCACAUAAUAGCAGCACAAUACUGACAAACACAUGAGGGAGGUCCCAAAUUGAAAUAUUCCACCAUAGGUAAGGCUGUUGACAAUGGAAUUGGGAUUGGUUUUAACAUAUAGUUCUUAUAAGAUUUAUAAGAAAAAUGACUUCGACUGUUUGAAUACCUCGUCUCUGUAUUUGUAUCUCGCGGUCCUGUAACUUAAUCUUACGUAAGAUCCGAUACCGUUUUAGUCGAAGUCGACCAAGUAUCCAUUCCAAUCCUGCAAUGAAAUGGAUAAAAAUACCCAGUUAGCUUGUAUGUUACAAAGACUUGGCCAAAGUAACGGGCAAAUGUAUAUCACUUGCAUUAGCGUAAGGAUGAACAUGGUUUCCUCGAGAAUGUGCUAAUCUUAAUCGCCUUUUUCUUCUGAACACCGCAUAUAUUCUCGUAAUUGUGUUGAUUAGCAUAUUUCUAAUUUGUUCGAAACCUGUUCGAAAAAUGCAAUCAUAUGAAUAGGAUAUUGCAAAUAGUUAUGAAAAGGGUGAAAGAAGCAAUAACUUACAUUCAUACGAUGUUCUGUUGCUUUUCCUUGUUCUUUGUGGUCGGUAAAUUGCUAUGUUAAUGCCUAUUUGAAAGCGAUGCAUCAAUAACUAACAAAGUAAGUAUGAGUGAAAGAGAUGUAUGAAUUUCUGCUAACAGGUUAUAAACGUAAAUGAAUUUCUGGGAACAAGUUAUGAGUGUAGUUUCACCUCGUCCAUUAGUAGAAUUUUUGUUUCCUGUGGAAGACAUGUUUUGUAGGUUUUGGCGGGUACAAUUGGGUGAAACAGUGAGAGAUUUUGGUCCGAAAGGAUCCGAUCCCAACUUCCGUCAACUACAACUGUUCAAUUAAUCAAAUUGAAGUAAAAAAUUGAUUCCCGUCAGAAGAUGCUUCGAGAAACUCCAGUUCUGUAUUACCAUGAGAUGAUUCCAAGAUUUGAGAAAUUUAUUCCUUGAGGAUGCAUCUGAAAUUGAGUUCCUUAUUGAGAAAUGGUUUAAGUAUAGUGAGAAGAUUCCAGUUAAGAUGGGAUAGAUACUUGUGAUAGAUUGUCAUCCGCCCACUGUGGGACAAUAUUUGCUAGAAGAUUGACAUACUGCUUCAUGGCCACCUCCGGAUCCAUAUUUCCAAGCUUCUGCCACGCAUUCCUUGCAUAGUGGUAAUCUAACUAUUGAAGACAGAAUGUCACUAUGUCAGAAGAUUGUACCAUGAUCCUUAUUAAACAAAUUGAAGGCCACUGCAAUCAAAUCCCAGUUCUGUGAAAUCGAUUCCCAUAUGUAUACAUGGCUUUUUUUUGUCCAAAGUGAACAAAUGGGAUUUCCUUCGACGUUAGUUCAGAGUAGAAGAACGGUCUCCCGGCGGCGUUGAUGAAGAUUGAAAGGAGUCUUUCCCGUCAGCGUUGGGUCAUAAUGGAAAAAGGGUUUCCGUCAAAAAAUUGAUUCCCCGCUGCAAUCAAAUCUAAGAUUCCGGGAAUCAAUUCUCGUCGGUAUAAAAAUGCCUUCUUUUUUCCAAUGUGAACUAUGAAGAUGGGAUUUUGGUCGGCGUUGGUGAAGAGUGGAAGAACAGUCUCCCGAUGACGUUGGUGAAGAAUGGAAGGGGGCUUUUCCGUCGGCGUUGGCUUACAACGGAAGAAGUGUUUCCGUGGGCAAUGAUGCAGAGUUCAAAGGCUAUAACAUUAAUUAAAGAUUUGAUUAUUAAUAUUUGAUUAAUUAAAUAUUCAGCAAGUUGGUUGAAUCCCUUCAAAUCUGGAUUGAAGUCUAAAUUGACAGUUAUGCUGAUGUGUCAAUCCCAAAAAUCUGAAAAUACAUUAUAUGUAUAAUAGAUGUGGUAACCUGCAAAGCGGCAGAAGCAUUUACCAUGAUGGCAAUGAUAGAUUACAAAGGGACAGAAAGCAGCAGGGAACAUUAAAUAAUUAGGACACCGGGAGUAUGGAUUUAUAUAAUCAUAUAUACUUGUAUUGAAUAUCGGCAACAAAAACCGAAUCAUGGACGAAACACCAGAAGCAAUCACAGUUAGGAACAAUAGCCUUGAAGCAAUAUGGGUAGGCUUGGUAUGACUAUGGUUUGAUAAAAUCUGAACUAAGGUUGCACUGAUGUUGGAAAAAACAUCUUGAUCUAGACUUGAGUGUAUGAAGAGAAUAUGUUUCCACAACUAUAAUCCAGUUCUAGAAAUGUAAAAUGAGGCCACGACAUCGGAGACUAAGCUCCUAUUAUGAGGCACGUAGGCCAUGACAUUGAAGAUUAAACGCCUAUAACAAGGCAUGUAGGCCAUGCCAUCCAGACCAAGGAACUUUCAAUGUCAACGAUCACCAUCUCAAGCGAUAUCUGAGUGCCAAGCCUACUGAUGGAGUCGAAGUUCAUUAUUUCGACGAUGCUACACAGAAGACUAGGUAUGGUCUAGUUCAAAGACAUUAAAGAAAGAGCGCUUCAUGAGAGGCAACUCAUGUCUGGACUCAUUAUUUUACAUUUUCUUUGAGUCAAAUAGCAUGUUUAGGUGUUAGAUUGAGUCUAGAACUAUUCAACCUGGGUCCUGUUUUGAAUUGUGAGGCGUUACAAUUAAAAUUUUAAAACCAGAGAUUUUGGUGUUUUUGGACCAAAAAUGCGCUAUAAGAUAGACCAAAAGUGCACCACACUUUUGGUCAAGCGUAGAGCACACUUUUGGUCGAUUUUUGAAAAAAUGUCUGUAAAUUUUACCGAUAAUGCACUUUUGGUCAUGUCAGUAGCGUACUUUUGGUAAAAAAGUAGCGAUUUAUCAACAGCCUCCCAUCUCCUUUGCAAAACUUUCACAUCCAUUCCCUCAAAACAUUGAAACUCCCACGACUCUUCUUCUUCAAUCGACGCAAGACCCCGUCGUUGCCACCUUCCCCAACGCAGCCCCAAUCAAUUGCAUCAACUUUCAUCCCGUUUUGAACCAAUUUUGACACUUUUUUGCCCAAUUCCAAUUUUCGACGAAUUUGUGUGUUUCUUCAACUGAUUAUCCAUGGUUAGGGGCUAGUAAGUUCCUCUGAUUGUUUCUCCCUUGUUCCUUUUUGUUGAAUUAUCCAGAUUUUGCCCGAAUUGUUCAUCUUUUGAAUUUUUAAUGAAGCCUAAUUUUUCAAAGUUGAGGGUUUUGAAAAUUGAUUAUGCCAUGUUGAAAUUGGGUAUGGUAGGAGUUUGUGGAUAUGAUUUGCCUCUUGAUUGGAUGAGUUUUUCUUGUUAAAAUUGACAUUUUAGUCAACAAUUUUAGGGUGUUUUUGAGAUAUUGUCUUGAUGAGGUAUCUUGCUCAUAAUUGUUAAAUUUUGGAUGCUAAAAGCCACCCUCAGUUGCAUUAGUUCUUGUAAUCUAAAGAAUCGCUAGUCUGAAUUAGUUUUGUAGCCACCACGUGAUUUCUUUGCGUGGAUAUAGUAAGAUAACUCUGGGGUGGUUCUUGAACAUUUGUUGUAAGAUCUCAAUUUCGGGUUAACCGUGGAUCAUGGGUUGUUGCUUGGUUUUUUUAUUUUUGGAGAAGAUCGUGAUGAAUGAUACGCCACAGGCAUGACUGUUAGUCUAUCACGGGUGUGGCCGUCAGGCAGACCACGGUCGUUGUCAGCACUGUCACGAUCGUGACUAAUAGGGGGACCAUAGACGUGACCGUCUGUAGGCCACGUGCAUGGUUGUUGUGAAGCCACGGACGUGGUGGACUUGUUAUAUAAACAAAGAAGCGACAUGCAAAAUUCAGAAUUACAGAAACCUAGAAUUAGAAUUCUUUGACGAAUGAUGAUUGAUUUCCAGGCAGAGACGAUGGUCAAGAGGAUCGGACCCAGGCUAGUAGGAGAAGGCUAGAUAUCGUUGAGGAAGCUUCAGGAGGUAAUCUAUCUUUUUCCUCCUUUCUCAAAUCCUUUGUUUGAAUCCUACGUAGGCAAUCCUGACAUGUUUGGGGUUUUUGGAAUUCAAUCCUAUGAUUGCUCUCUUAAGGUCAGACGCAUCAGGAGAUUAAGGUCUAAGAAAGAUUGCUUCAGACCAGACUCGACUGGAAAAAGAACUUUUCGGCUUUAAGUGUAAAACUAUAAUUAGGAUUGUCAGAAAUCCGACGAAUGGAUUCUCAUGAUGGUUUAGUGGCGUGCGAUCCACCAUAUCAAUGUCGUGCGUUCAGAGUCAGGCUCCUUGGACUAUGUAGUGGCGUGCGAUCUACUGUAUAGUUGUUGUGAUUACAGAGCAGGGCGCUAAAGCUGUACAGUAGCAAGUUCUACUAUACCGAUGAUUGUAUUCGAGCAUAAGCUCAUACCGUUUGAACUGUGAUUCACUAUUCAUGAUUACCACAAGGUUAAGGUUUAGCUAGACUAGAUCUCGAUAUGCGUUGUUCACCCACCCUUGGAUUGCAAAAUCCCUCAAGAUGUUUCUAUGGCUACGAAAUGACGUGUAGAGUAUGCCAACUGAUGCAACUCACACGAUAUCUACGGUCUACGGGAUAGUUUUCAUGGUCUAAUCCACUAUGAGCUAUCGAUUCUAGCUAGUGGUGAAAAAUGAUAGCAUGAUGCCUACAAACCACAUUAAAGAAGUGACUAGGUUGACUUUCUCCUUCUGUCACAUCAAAAGCUUAAUAAAAGCUCAGUACAGGUUUAGUAAAGGCUCAGUACAGGCUCAAUAAAAUCACUAACCCAAUCUAUGUUUCUAUGCAUGAUCAACUGUGGGACCUUAAGAGCAAAUGCCACAUAAGAGAGCGAGACGACCAGCAACAUCUCGAGUUAGUGGAUCUAGGAGUCAUCAUGAGAGGUACCUUGGAGGGCCUCGAGUUAUCCCUUGUCAUGUUUUCAUAGAUUUUCUUAUUUUCUGAUGUUUGAUAGACUUAUUUUCCAAUUGUCGUUUUCCCAUAUUUGGGAUGGAUUUUAUGUUGUUUAGUAUUGGAUUCGAGCCUGGUUGCUCUGUUUUCUUCUGCUAUCGUUUUGCUAUGGAUUGAAAUUAUAUCCAGUACCGUUAUUUUCCUUUAUGUUUGACUUGAUAUUAUAUGAUGAGUGAACCCGUGAGUAAUGCAUGGAUCGAGCCGCGUGGUUCGAUCGAGUAUCCUAGGGGAGGGUUUCACAUUUUAUGUGGUGUUUUCAUUUUGUAGUAAGCAUGGACGUGUCCCUACCUCUUGUGCUUCCACUAGUGGAGCACCUCUGCCUCCUUCACCACUCAAUUUGGAAUCAUCAUCUUCGGAGGAGGAAAUGGACCUCCCUGCACAUGUUUAGAGUCAGAACGAAGCGCGAAAUGUGCACUGCUUCUUCACUAUAUUGGACACCUGGGCAUGGACCAUGUAUUGGGAUCAUCGUCACCUCUGGCUACACCAACUAUGGUAACCAACCUCGCAAGAAUUAGGGAAAAUAUUCCAAAUUGAGUAGAUGGAAUUGAAGAGGACCUCAACCGUGCAAGGCUUUCUGCCCUGUGCCAGAUUGAUCCUCCACCAAACCUGCUCGCUCUUCAAGAGUUUUGUAGUUCUUUUUGAUUCAAUACUCGUGCAGCGUAUAACGAUAGGAGAUAUGUCUCAUAUCGCCUCAGUAAGAGGCAGUUUAACAAAGCACUGGAUAGGUCCAAGUUUUGUUGGGGUUCUACUGGAUCGACCCAUCUUAGCUCUCACGACCUUAUCGAGAAGGAGAUGACCCCACCAUGAUCCGUAGAGCCUACAAUGCAUUAUGGAGAAAUAUUCUAUGCACCAAAGACCCCACGGACACAUUCAAGACCUCCACAUCUUCCUACACUCAGAUCCUCGACCCGUUCUCCCACCUUUUCCAUAUGUUUUGGAGCUAUGGUCUUGCUUACAGGGAUAGGCAGGAGAGAGGGCCUCACUAUGUCCUUAAAGACGAGAUCAUCUUUCUCCGCGCCAUGUUCAAAAACCAACCACUUCACUUGGGUUGGGUCAUAGCCAAAUUCUUUAACUCUCGCCAUAGUAAAAAGAUUGCCACCUUGCCUGGCAGACAGUUCAUUCGUAGGAUUAUGCAUGAGAAGGGGUUGGAUCAUGCUUGGGAUGAAGUACUUAUGCCACCCGCACUAGCAACAUAGUAUCUUGCGGUGGAGGUGUUGGAGUCCAUGAACAUUGAUCUCGAUCUCACAACAUUGGACCCAACUUCUAUCCGGGCUUGCCAUCCUCGGUUCGGCCAUCCUACGGCAUAGAGAGCUCAGACACAAGGACGUGGUCGAGGUUGCGAUCGUGGAGAGACUCAGCGGGCGAAAGGAGUGGAGCAGGCAGAUUAAGAGAUGCACGAGGCACCGGAUUUUCAGCAGCCACCUCCCACUCAGCAGCCCACUCGCUUUUAGCUGACCCCGUAGUCGAUUGGGAGUCAAUUCAACAGUGGCAGACAUCAUACGGGGAUGACAAUCUUCCUUGACAGCUGCAGUAGAUAGCCUGCCAGACAUCUUUUCUGAGGGCAGUCUACCUUGGCAGCAGGAGCAGUCUUCUUAGCAGGCUCAUUAGGAUAGCCAGCUAGCUGAGCUAGCAGCAGAGCAGGAAGCACAAAGGCAUCACUUUAAGGAGCAACAGUACCAUGAGGAGCAGAUGCGCUAUCUCAGGCAUUUCCCCUACCACCAGACAGGAUCUUACUACCUUUAUCCCUCCCCUCCUCCAGAGGACUACUGAUCCAGUAUCGUUGUUCUACUUCGUAUUUUUCUUUCCUCAUUUUCGAAUAGUGUAUCCACUUUUAUUAUGUGUAGGACUUAGACACUUUUCCUAGUCCCUUUUUACUUGUCCUAGUGUCGCCGUCGAGUUUGAACUUCAUGAGCCAUGUAUCUAGCCUCUCGGAUUUCUGACAACAUCCAAGUUUCCCUAUGCAACUUUUCGUUUCAUUCAGUGACGACACUGUCCAAACUAAGUGUGGCGUGGGUUUGCAUAGUCUUAUUCGGUAGUCGUCUUGCAUAUAGGUCCUAAUCUCAAACUUGUUGGAACCGUCUUUGAAUCGAUUACUUGGCAUGCUUAGAAUACUACUCUAUGAUUUAUGCACUUGAAUUGCUAAUUUACUUAUGAACAUAUAUUUUAUAGGAGUAUUGGCCAAUGAUCAAAGUCUAUUGAUUCGUUCUUUAGAUUUAGUUUGAUGUGUUUAAAGUAGCACACACUCUCCAACUUGAUGUGAUCGGACAUGCAUGUUAUCGAAUCACCAUUGAGAAAAACAAUGUGAGGUCUAAACAAAGACCAUUUUGUAGUAUAGAUAGUCUGCUUCAUCGGUAGAUUUGUUCUUAAAUUGAUUUGAGUGGUCUUCUUUGUUUGUUGUUAAUCCGACACUUGCAUGAUUCCAAACUGAAUUCGCUCAACACCGAUUCACUAGAAUGAUGAUAGAGGCAUUUAGAAAAGCUCCACCACAAAAAUAUCCAUCUCGUCCUUACAUUUCUCCUAAGUAACCCAAACAUAGCCAAAAAGCCGUUUUCAUAACCCACAAAAUAUCGUAUCCCCUUUCUUUCAAGCCUUCAUUUGAUCAUGUGUAUAUUAGUGGCAUGUAACUUAGUCAAGUCUAGGAGUCAAUAAAGUUAUGAAAUUGAGUUACUACAGGAUUAUAUAGUAUCCCUUGAUCUUUUUUUAUGUAUGGUUUCAGUUUCAAAAAAAAGAGAGAAAAAAUAUUUGAAAAUCUCGAAAAAAGGAGAAGACAAGCGAAAAAGGCCCAGUCUUCGAGAUAAAACAAAAAUAAAAUGAAAAAGAAGUUGUAGUAGAUUAGUUGAAUAAACGAGCAUAUAAGCUAAAGUAGGAGUUUGAUAUAAGGGAUAGACGAGCUAGUUUGAAACUCUUGUUGAAAAUGGAAUCCGUGUAUCAUGAUGAUUAAUUGUCUUAGUAGCUUAGCUCCAUAUUAGAUUAGAUCGAGUCGUCCAUCACUGUGUAUACCUACCACCAAAGUCUUUUCACCUUCUCUUAUCUUCUCUUUUCUAUCCACAUUACAACCCGAAUAAAAGACCUCUUGACUGGAAGUUUAGCCGACGGACGAUGAUAUCGGGUGAUCUCAACCUUCGUCUCGAACUUGAGCAGGGUUUGGAUACUCGAAAUUUGUGUGGGUUUGGGGAUUACACGUAACAUUGUUAUAUAUAUAGGACGGGUAGAUUUUAUUCAAUAGGCGGAUGGGUACUUGUAAGUUAACACACGUCUGAUGCGGAUCAUCAAACACACAAGUCUGAUGGUUCAACAGAAAGCAUUGUGCAACUAAGAAUGCUAGUUUCAGAAGUAGCACUCUACAAUUUGCACACAAGUCAUAUUAUAUUACAUAAUUAAUAUUCAUAAUAGUUAUAUAUUAAUGUUAAACUAGCAGAGUAGCAUCUCAAGUCUGAAGCUCCAACAGAAAAUCAACAACAAUUAGCAAAGAUCAUUACUGCCAAUAAUAACUUUUCAAGUGUCGAAACACUACUACCGGUACUCACUGUCUUCUCCAUCGAAAAAUAGGAUGCGUGCCUUGUACUCUCCCCAAAAUGGGGAUGCGCUUCCAACAAAUCUGCAAAUGAAAUAUUGUAUGAAAAUCGUAUAUUGAUUGAUGAUAGUCAAAUCACAAAGCAGAUCGAACGAAUGAAUACAGGCUUAUGAUUAUAACACCGCUUUGCAUUGUAAUGUAGCCUGCUCUGCAACUGUUUGUUUCAAUGAAGAGACACUGCUGAAUGAGACAAUGAAUUAAUUAUGAACAUCCAUACAAAUGCUACUUAUAAAAAAUGGAAGUAUUGACAACGAACGCACCUUCGCCGUCUUUUUUCCUGAAGACCAAGAUUUCGACGACAGAGAUUUCCAGUGUAGAAUAUUCAAUUUUAUAGGCCUCAGUUUUAUCCUCACCUACCUUCUCUGGAUCCAGAGCUUCAAAUGUCACGUAGUAUACCAUAUUGACACCCCAUGAUGCAGUUACAUGUAUAAUCUUUUUGAACUCUAGCUUCUUCUUCAGCAAAACCACAUCAUUACAUUCAAAGCUGAAUAUCGUAUUAUGUUAAUUCUUCAACUGCUUCAGGUAUAUCGAUCAAUCUAAACAGUAGUACCUCUUUCUCAUAAUAGGCAUCCAGGCAGGCUUUAGCUGAUUCUUCAACUUCAUCGUCCCAAUCCAAAUAUAGAAAAUGAUCACGGUUGUAUAUUCCAUCAAUGUAAGCAUAGGGAGGGCAGUCAACAUAGAAACCCUACACCACCAUAUUGUUGGGGCGCUAACGGAAAUGUAGCGGAAUUUAGGAUCGAAUAAGAUAAUAUUUUGAUAAUUCACUUAAUUAAUCACUCAUUUUUUUAAAUAUUACAACUUGGUCACUUGACCAAUUCCCUCACUCUCACAAUUUGCUCACAUACACCUCUUUGCUCACAAUUUGACCUCUUUGCUCACUUUUGCUUUGCUUACAAUUUGUUUUCCUUGCCUCUCCAACUCAAUGUACAACACCUAUUUAUACUCAUAAUUUUACAUUAGAAUAAUAAGAUAUUUUUGUUAUCUCCACCUACACCAUCUCAAAUUAGUGGACUUCAUUUUGUUCCAUUAUUUUAUAACUUCAUAUCAAAUUAAUAAGACUAGUUGGGAGGUUGAGAUAUUUGUGUGGAGUGAUCUAGCGAAAGAAUACUCUAGAUUGUUGAUUACUUACUUUCAACACCCCCUCUUAAUCUGCAAUCUGGAGUAGGUGUUUGAAUUUUUCGAGCAUGUCCUUGGUUACCGCCUUCAUCAUGAAAUCUGCUAGUUGGUCAUCGGUGUUGAUGAACUCCAUUGUAAUUUCUCUGUUGGUGACUAGCUCUCGUAUGAAAUGGUGUCAUAACUCGAUAUGUUUCGACCUUGCGUGAAAUCCUGGAUUCUUCAUCAUGGUGAUGGCUGACAUGGUAUCACAGUAAAUAAUGGUUGGUUCAUUAUCACCUUGUUGCAAGUCUUCAAUUAAUCUUUUUAGUCAUACUGCCUCGCAUGCUGCAUCUGUUGCUGCAACAUAUUCUGCUUCCGCUGAUGAUAAUGUCGCAGUCUUCUGCUUCUUUGAGCUCCAGGAAAUUGGUUUUGUACCUAAGCAAAAUAUGUAACCAGAUGUACUCUUUCGGUCCUCUUCUUCUUCUUCUUCAAACGUAUCAAAUCAUUAGUUAAUAAGAAUUAACCUAGGGUUCAUCUAAUCUAAGCAAGAGAAGUUUAGAUGCUCAUAAUCUCGAAAGAAAAAUCUAAAUCAAAAGAGGAAGACAUUGAUUCUAGGUUUACACAAAGAAUUAUGAAACACCUAAUUUCGCCAAUCUUCUCGAGAACUUGAUUCGCCGUCUUGAUUAUUUCGCCGAUCCCGAGCUCCUUGAAGUCGCUUUCUCGUUGCUCUUGAAUCUAUGAAUUUCUCUCUAAAUUUUUCCCAAGAAAUUCUAUGAAUUAUGAGGGAGAGCUGGACUUUUAUAGAGAAGGAUUCCUUCAGCCUGUCGGAUACCAAUAAUGCGAUGUACACGGACCAAAAGUGCCCCACGCACAUUUGGUCUAUUUACGGCACACUUUGGUCUAGUUUAUAGAGACCUUUGAACUCAAAAGUUUUAUAAAAUUGAACUAUCUUUCCAACGUCGCCAGCCUUGCGUCAAUCGGACUUCUGAGCUAGGAGAUAUAUCCAAAAUACAAAACUGUGAUGUUUUUCCGAUUAAGUCAAAAUCCAAGCUCCUAGAAGAUUCAAAAUGCUUCCCAUUGCUUUUCCUAGACAACUCACACACACCGUAUCGCUCCAAUUAAUGCCUCAAUGUCGUCAUGUACCUGAAAUCUAUUAAAAACACUCUAAAACCAAUGUUCAGGAAGGCGUAAGGCGUAAAUAAGGCGGUGAGGUCUUGCCUCACGCCUUGGACGAUUAGGCGUUGCCUAAGCGCGAUUAGGCGUUUAGAAAAAAUGCAUUAGAUUUUAGGUUUAGUGUGCAAGAUCAAAUAUAACUGUUCAUAAGUUUACAGAGUUGUAGUUAUGUAACUAACAAAGUUCAAGAUAUCAUAUAUAAAAAAACAAACAUAACAAACAUAACAAAAUAACAAUAAAAAAAUGACAAAAUAAGCCAUAAAGGCGAUGUCAACUCGUAGGUUCCUACGUGAUCACACAAAAUCUUUCAAUUUAGGGUGAACUAUGUAUUUUUUAUUCUUAGUUUUAACGCCUAAUAGGAUUUCGCCGUCGCGGUAAUCGAUUCCUCAUCCGUCGCGGAAAUCGAUUCCUCAUCGAUUUCGCGCGAUUCCUUAGUGAUUACUCGGUCGGCCGCCUUAUUUCAUCGCCUUGCCCGAGGCGAGGCGUUUUGCCGGUGCCUUGGGGUUUUUCCCGCCUAGGCGGACGCCUAAUCGCGUCUUCCAUAACACUGUCUAAAACAACAUAAAAUGGAACCCGAACGGGUCUGAGACACUAAAUUUAGAUAGAUGUUAGAAAUGCACGAAACAUCCUAAACUUCUACCCAAAACUAUACAAAUGCGCAUGAAAUGUCGCUUAAAUGAGGAUGAUGAACACGAAAAAUUAAGUCUCAUCAGAAACUUACAGCAGUAAAGUGGAUGUUCCACCUCACCCGCUGGAGCCAAGACUGAGGAGUAGAGUCGAUGGAGGUGAAGGUUGCCAGGCCUCGGAACCAGUCGAUGGCUCUGCCCUCCCCGGUAUAGAAGCCGCAGACCACGACCAACUCAUCGAGAUAGAGGACGUUUGCGACAAUUGUAAAGUAAGCGUCAGCCUGGUCCACCCGACCAUGAGAUCCACGUACAAAGUCACGAAGAACUCGUCUGCCUUGAAUACGCGCUCAACAUGUCUGUUGUGGUGCAGCUUCGCUGCACCGCCCUCCCAGUCACCGAACGGAGUGUCCAUGAUCCCCUCCCAAUCGAUCCGCCUGACCUGCUGAACAGGCUUGCCUCGAAGUUGCUCUAUGCAGGAGCGAUGCACCUCGUUCAGGAAGUUAAGGUAGGCAGCAGCAGUCCGGGUGACACCCUGUUCCAGGCUCUCUUCAUGGGCGGUGUGGUAAGCAUCAACAACAGGGUCCUCUCUCGCCCCAUGAUGAGUAUGCUUGGGCCUUGGGUGCAUCAAUUUUUGACACGACAAUCCUUCGCCAUACAUUUACACAUAAACAGAGAAUUAGUGACUGCAAACGAUCGAUCACGGGGAUGCUGUAUAUUUGACCACGAGCGUGUUGUAUAUACCACCACGGACGUGGGGAUGGGUCAUCACAGGCGUGAUGGAUAGACCACCAUGGUUGUGGUGAGUGGGACAGCCAUGGGCGUGACUACCCCAAAGAGUCAGAAAAUCGCGUUGAUGACCUAGAGUCAAUCGACAUAAUAGAAGUUCCAUUCCUCCACAAAUCAUAAUACUAAAAAGUGAAAUUAUAGCCUUAGCAAGUGGAGUUAGAAGUCUAUGUUCUAAAAUGAAAAGCAAUAUGGAGGAAUAGGGACUUACCGUUGGUUGAGAAGUCGCACAAGCAGGAAGGAGGAGACAACAACAACGGUGUCAGUGAUGGAGAAGUAUGCAGAAGAAGGUGAAUUAGGCAUCUCGAAGCAUGAAUAAAAUGGAAUCUAGGGAAAGGAGAAGGAUGGAACUUACGGUGAAUCAAAGGAAUGAAUGAGGGAGAAGUGGUCGACAACGGGCAUGAGAGGAAUCAACAUAAAUUGGAAGAGAAGGGGGAAGAUUGAAAAUUAGGGAUUUGAAAAUAGGGGAUCAAUUUCCUUAUAUAGAGUUGACCAUGGGUGUGGUGACCAGUCUACCACAGGCGUGGUGAUGCAGACCACCAACCUGGAUCCAUGAGGGUUGGCCGAAACUAUGGGCUAAGAAUAGGCUGAAACUUUGGGCGAAGAAUAUGCCCAACAAGUGUUAUAAGGAAUUGAUCAAUCAGGCUUAGUCUGAAAAUAUAAGGGUCUGAAUAUGGUCUGGUAGUACCCCUAAUGGUCUAUUUUUGUAAUAUUGUCAAGGUAUUGGGUAUAAAGAUUCGACAGAUGAGACCACUUGCAGAAGAUGUUACCAUCACCGUAACCAGAGCUUAGUUAGAGACCUUGAAAAGAAGAGAAGUCAGUGGUUUCUCUCUCCUGAGACAAAGAAGGGGUAAGUGGAUAAAUGAACCACAACCAGUUAAGGAGACGGUCUCUCAAGGUCAGGUGACGAGGACCUAGUCGUGUUUUGACAUAGAAUCGACAAGGGCAUUAAUCAAGGCCAAGGACAAGUUCCUUUUCAAGUAGUCCACCGGUUAUGAGUGAUGUGAGGUAGAGGAAAUGACCCUUAGCGGAUAUGUCCUUAUCACAUGAGUGAUGUGGGGUAGAGGAAGUGACGAGGACCUAGUCAUUUUUUAUCAGGUGGGUAUCUCGUGUGCGACAACAUGAGCCAUAUGCAUGGUUAGAGAACUAGCACUAGCAUGGAACUGCGAAACUGAGGCUUUGACCUUCGCUAUUUAGCAGCAUCUGAGAAAGUUGCCCAGUAGUAGUGCUCAGCGAACACCAAGGUUGAGGGUUCGGCUCUAUGUUGAGCAUGAUUGACCUUGGUCUAAGGCAAGAGGUAUAAGCUUAUGUUGGCAAGGAAUAUGCUCAACUUAGCUUGGAAAUCUUGGCUCGGUCGGGAGCAGCUUUCCGAGGGACAGACUCGAAAGAGUUUUGCCGGAACAAGGAAUUAGCUAUAUGCUUCACGCAAGCGUGAUGAGCUAGGGAUAGGCAAGUUAUGGUGUGUACCAUGAUCUUUUUUCAAAGUCAAAGUUGUAACUUGGACCAUUAGGUCAUCACUAAGGAGUAAAUUCCAAGCAGGGUGCAAGCAUCGGGGUUAGAACACCGUUGUGCCAAAUUGUUUCACUCAGUAGGGUAACAUUCAGAUUUCAGGACAAAACCUUUUGUAGGAGGGGAGAGUUGUGACACCUUGACUUCAGGUCAACUUUUGGUUUGAGUUUUAGCUUGAACUAGCUGGAUUUUUGGGUUUGAUUGGUGGACCAUCACGGGCGUGACCAGUCGUCAGUCACGGGCGUAAUUGCCAGACUGACCACGGUUGUGGUCAUCAGUCAUUCAUGGUCAUGACCAUCAUGAAGCCACGGCCAUGACCAUCAGUACGUCAUGGGCAUUAUGAACAGGCAGUCACGGGCGUAAUGGUAAGACAGCCACAUGCAUGAUGGACUUAUUAUAUAAGUCAGAAUUGUGAUCAGAAACUCAGAAAAACACAGAAACAUACAUGUGGCGACUUCUUCCUAGGAGAUGAGGGAGAUCGACCAAGAUGUGAAGUCAGGACUGAUCGGUCUAUGAUCAGGGGUAGAGGAUUAGAAAAGCUAGGAGAUUCAUGAGAAGGUAAUCAAUCCUCUCAUUUCUCUCUUAAUUCCAUAGAUUGAAACCCACGUAGGAAAAUCUAAUAGUCAGGGUUUUUGAGAGAUUUGAUCAUUUAUUGGUCUCUUCAAGUCUAUCAAGACGGGAGGCUUGAGCUUCGGGAAGGAAGCCACGAAUCAUACUCUACCAUGCAGCUUAUCAGAGGUGGGGGGUUAUGAUUACUUUUCUGCUUUAAGCGUAGAACUGUAAUUAGGAUUUUCAGAAAUUUGAUGAUCGGAUUCUCAAGACUGCACAGUAGUGUGUGAUCUAUUGUACAUGUGUUGUGUUUUAGAGCCAGGCUCCCGAAACUAUGUAGUAGCGUGUGAUCUACUACACAAGUAUUAUGAUUACAUAGUCGGGCUCUCAGGACGGUACUGUAGCAUAUGAUCUAUUGUACAAGGGUUGUGAAACAGAGUCGGGCUCUCAGACUGUGUAGUAGAGUGUGAUCUACAGGCAGUUGUUUAAGUUCAAGCAUAAGCUCAUGACGUUUGAACUGUGAUUCACGGUUCAUGUUUAGGACAUGAUUCAGGUUUAGCUAGUUUAACUCUCGAUAUGUGUUGAUCACCCACCCAUGGAUUGCGCAAUCCCCAGAAUGUUACUACGGUCAUGCCAGACGUGUCAAGUAUGCCUACAGAUGCUGCUCACACGGUAUCUACGGGGAGGUUUCAUGGGCUGAUCCACCAUGAGGCUAUCUAUCAUAGCUAAGGGUGGCUGAUGUUAGGAUGAUGCCUACGGAACCACACCGUCACAUUACUAGAUUUAGGGAUUAGUUAGUCUAUCUUGUUCUAUCUUCUUUAUAUAGUCAUAUUGAGUCUAGUUUAGCCACUCAGUGCUUAUCACUGACCUCAUUAGACUUUGUUUUCUUUGGCAUAUCUAUGUGUUCAGUCACAUGUACUGGAGCUUAUGGUGGGGGGAGAUCUGGUCAGGAUUUUGAUACCAAAUGGUAUCGUUUUGCUGUAUUUUUAGAACUGGAGUUGCACCUUCUUUUAACUUGUGUUUUGGGAUCCGGAAUCCUAGUUGGUCAGUUAUUUAAGUAUUUUAGUUUGACUUUUAAUAUUUGUUUUAAUGCUUUGGUUAGUAGUUCAGAGUUGGGUUAUGGUUCAGGUUGAAACCCGAGUAGGUUUCUUUGGUUGAACCAGUAGUUAGACUGGGACUCCUAGGGUGGGGUUUCACAAUGUUUUUAUUUGUAACAUCUAUAGUGUAUAAAAUAAGCUAGCGUUUGAGUUAUGUAAUUCAUAUUGGUCUAUUAGUGAUUUACAAAGUUUAAGUGUUUGAAAAAUGAUAUAGUUUGUUUAUCCUUUUUUACAUUUCAAAGCCUCUUCGAUUAUGAUAAUAACCGUAAACCGCCAGAAAACCAACAUGUAUGGCUACGGUAUGACAUUUGCUACCUGAAAGUUAUAUAGUUUGUUGCUAAAUGAUGUUGCGAUAAAAAUUUUACUAGAAAUUUCUAAUCAAUUUCUGAGAUGGAGAUGAUCUAAGGUGAGUAUUUUCCAAAAUCUAAUUACAAAAGGUAAGAUACGAAUAUCAACUAACCGAACUCGACCUGACACUUACUAAGCCUACUGAAUUUAGCUUUUGUAGCUAGUUUUGUUGAUGGUUACUUUGAUCAUUUGGGCUAUACCUAUCCUUUCCUCUCUUUUUUUCCCGAGAUAGCUCAUGUUAUCUGAUCGUCAAACAGUCUGCAGUCGGAUCUCGGACAAGGAAGCCAGUUGACAGAUCCGUUGAUGAUACAGCCGUCGGAUGUCAAGUUGGUGUGGCCAGUGCGGUUGUGGGUCGCCAUUGCCUAUGCGUCUCUUUUGAUACCUACCUGGCUAACGAACUGCCUUAAAACGAAUCACGAACGCAAAAUUUAAAGGUGACAAGUCCCUAAAAAUUGCUCCCUGUCCUUUCUUUUCGAAGUUCACAUAAAGGUCGUUUGUCCGGGUGAAUUCGUAGGAAGAGAAUUCAAAUAGCUAAAGAAUUCAAAUAGUUAGAGAAUAUGAGGGUCAUGCUAUUUCAAGAAAUAGAAUGUUUGGUUGUGUCAUUUUAGGUGAUUGUUGGGACUAGAGAAUUCAUAAAUUAAAUGAAAUGGAAUGAAUUCUCCCAAAAUCCCCUUCCUAACUUAGUGAUUUCAAUAUGAGCUCAAAAUCUCUUGGGUCCCACAUCAAGAAUUCAAAUCUCUAACAUUCUCCCAUAAUUAAUUGUGAUCCAAACAAUCUAUUUGACAAAAUCUCUAACUUAGAGAUUUUAGAGACCAAAUCACCCAAAAUCACUCAAAACAAUCACUUGUACAAACAACCCCAUAAUGUUUUCUUACAGCUCGGAUUUAUCUAAUUGAGUGCUCUGCGACCAAUUAUCACCCUGUCAAGUCAUUAUCGAUAUGAGUUGAGUGGUUUCUACCCAAAAAAAUGUUGUCAACAACCAACCCUCUGCUCUGACCACCAAGUCAAAAAGAAGUCAUCAACGCCACAGCUAUUUGCUGAUCUCCUGUCCACCCAUCGUAAGAUACGCCCUCCACUCAAACCGUUGGAUCCACAGGGUGAAACUAAAGUCCAACCCUCAACAACGGCUCGCAUAAAACAGCCCCAUUUUGCGCAGUUGCUUCGGCAGCAAAAACCCUCGUCCCUCGCCUUUCCCACCUAAUCUUCCGCAUUUCCGCCUUCCACUUUGAUUAUCUCGUCGAGAUGAAGGCGUCUUUCAAGGGAAAAUACGACAACGGCAAGUCUACCGCCGCCACUACUCUUGUCCUUAACGCCGGCGAUGUUAAGCUCCGAGCUUCCCUCACGGACGCCACCGUCACUAAUGGCCCCAGCCUCAACGGUUUGGCUUUAGCCGUCGAGAAGCCCGGAUUCUUCAUCCUCGACUACAACGUCCCCAAGCAGGUACUUCGGAGUCAAUCCACCUUUGAAUCUAUGUCUUCCCGCAGGUAGUUUGAAUUGACUCAGCAAUUUGAGUAUCUGCAGCAAAAGUUGGCGGAAUUUAGUUGUAUUUUGAACAGAUAAUCUGCUUUUAACCCUACCUGCUCUAGUUUAGGGAAAAGUAUGGAGUUUCAGAUCAAUCCUUAAGACCUUAAGUUUGAGAUAAUCAAGUGGAUUCCUUGGUCCAAACGCUGGAGUUGACUUAUGCCUGAUUUUCCCUUAAUUCAUUGUUGUUGCAGGAUGUCCGUUUCCAGUUCAUGAAUACUGUCAGGUUUGCGGAUAAGCCCUUGAAUCUGACUUACAUUCACAGCAGAGGGGAUAACAGGACUAUGUUGGACGGAAGUCUUGUAAUUGAUUCCGCUAACAAGGUUUCUGCUAACUAUGUGGUUGGUACCAGCAACUGCAAGUUGAAGUACUCGUACAAUCAUGGAGGGUUGACCACGUUCGAGCCUACUUAUGAUUUGGCAAAGAAUACAUGGGAUUUUGCAGUCUCACGAAGAGUUUAUCAGGAUGAUGUAUGUAGGGCUACGUAUCAAACCUCAAGCAAGCUAUUGGGAUUAGAGUGGUCAAGGAAUUCAAAGUACAAUGGGAAGUUUAAGGUAAUGAGCUACUGUUUCAUGUACCAAACACUCUCGAUUCUUUCUGUUCUUAUGAACUAGCUUCUACAUAGCAUGUGUCUCAGCUCUAAAUGUGGUUAAUGUGUUGUAUUUGGCUUUUGAAUUGUUUACAUAGAUACUAGGAAUCUUAGUUAUGCUGGGGCUUGGCAAGUUGAUUCGACCUGUAACUAUUGUUGAUGCUUUAGCUGGCUUUAGACCACCUAGAAGUUAACUGCAUAAGCAUUCCAGAAACUGAACUUGCUUGGUGAUGUUGUUUUCAAAUAAUCUGACCACACAAAAAUUCCUACAUAGUACAUAAGCGUGACUUGUCUUUUCAACAGACGUAAAUAUGAUUCAGUGUUUAGAUUGGGUUGAUGCUUCCAAAAACGGUGUCUUCUGCAGUUUGAUUGCCUGCAUUUCUGGUUGGUUGGUUUGAUUCAAUUCCGUGGAUAUUUUGACUCCUAUUUCCUUGUCAGUUGUAUGCCAUUUCCUUUUUACUGUCAACAAGGUGCCUUUGAGGAAAGACAACCACCAGAAUUCCUCAAUUUGUCUUCAUUGUGAUGUUUUGCGCAGCCUGCUCUGAAACUGGCAGUAUCGAUGUCUUGUCUGAUACAUGCAACCUAAGCUUAGAUAAUCUCAAAAUUUUCAGUAUGGAUACCUUGUCUGAUUUAUGCAACCUUAGUAGGGAUCUAUAUGGUACAUUUUUAUCUCUUGCGUGUAGCUACUUUGCAUCAAACGCUGGAUUGGAUGAACAAUUUGAGCUGCAUUCCAUUUGUGGGUUGGAUUAAAACUUUUGAUUGAUGAGAUGCUUUUAUCCGUAACAGGUUUCUGCAUCUAUGAAUUUGGCGGAGGAAUCUAAAAUGCCGAAGCUAAUGGCGGAGACUACAUGGGAUAUUGAGAUGUGACUUGUUUUCAGGAGAUGAGGUAGCCGUUUUGGAAUGUUGUUGUCCUGUAUUGUUGAACCCUGACGACCAAGGUCCCAUAAGUAUCCUUGCUCAGUUCCUUUUUUUUAAGCAUUGUCCAUAAUUCUUGUUUUGCUAGAAGGGGACUCGACUAUGGAGAUUGGAUCUAUUUUGAAAACUUAAUAACUAAUCCCCCUCCCUCCUAUUCCUAUUACAAUGAAACUUUCAAAAUCAUUCGUUCUUGUCGUUUGGUUUGCUCUUUGAUGCUACCAGAAGCAGAUUUCUUGAUUUUCCGCCUAGGCCUGAUCGGACCUGGAUGCUUUUAAUUUUCGUAUUCCGCCUGGGGUUGAUCAGAACGGGAUGAAGAGCAUAUAGGCGAGUUUUUUUUUAUGACAGAAAAAGACACAACUUUCAUCCUUUGGUUCCUUUGCUAUGUUUGAUGAACCGGAUUUGGCAAUUCUUUAUGCGGCACCUGAGGUAUGAACUGAAGUUUGUGAGGAGAGGUUAGAACGAAGCGGCUCAUCCUUUGUUUGACUAGACGCUAUUUUUUUGGGUAUUUAGCCUAAUUUGAGACACUAAACCCUCCGGACGGGUUGAAUGAUGCUUUGUGAAGAUACACUAUCUACUCAUGAUGAUUACCAAUAUCAGCAAUAUUGCUUUGGGAAAACAAAUUCUAACUGUCUAUUUACGUUCAUUGUCGUCCCAGAUGCUGUGAACCGAGAUUUUAUAUCACCUAUUAUGUAAGUUUGUGGACUUAAUCAACAAACUUGAAAGUUGACGGACUCAUUUUAACUAAAUAAUGUAUCAAAUAUUGCGGACCUAUCAAGUGGCCCCUAUCAGGGUCCAGGGCCCGUGGCUGCUUUCCUUUCUAGCGGGGUCUGGGACGUUCAGACUCUUCGACAGUGAUUUACAAGGGAAUCGAUUGACCGGAUCUUAAGAAUUCCCGUCCCGCAUACGCCCUAAGAUGAUUGUUUGAUUUGACAUUACUCGUCGUGUGAUACUUACAAUACUUCUUCUGGGUAUGAGUUCUUGGCUUGUGCCACCUUCACUUUCUCAUCAUCCAAAGCUUCGCCAGUAAGCCCACAUUUAUGGCGCUCAGUUUGACAGGUCCAGGUUCAUCCCAAGUUACGAUUUUUUCUCUGGAAGUUGCUUGACCGCAUCCUACCUACGCUGGAAGCCCUCUCAGAUAAAGGGAUGGAUGUUCCCACUCUUUGCCCGGUCUGCUCAGUUCUGUGUGAGUCUCAAGAGCAUCAGCUAUUUUUUCUCCCCCUUCUCGGUACGGUACUAUGGCCUCUGUGAUGGCCUCUGUGGCCUGACCAUUCCUGCUCUUUCAGAUACUCAUUUUUGCUAUUUCUAGGAUCACAUCCUCCUUGAGCAGCCGCACUUAGCUCCUAUAUAGACUUUGGCUUGGUGGCGCAUGUGAAAAAGCCAAAACUGGGUUAUGUUUGACCGGACUCAAUGGUUGUCGUCUCCUGUAUACAAACAGUUUUGCUGCCAGGUGGCGGAACUACCCCACCUUCUCCCUUCUCUCCCUCCUACCGCCCCACCAGCGUCGCAGCCGCCGCCGCCCUUGGAUGUCUGGACCCCGCCGACAUUUCCACGCUUCAAGAUCAAUGUAGAUGACGUUGUCUGAUCCCCUGUAGGCGGCUCUAUGGGCUGGGUCCUUCGCGACUCGGCGGGUGUUGUGCUCCAUACGGUUGGGGCACUCCUUACCCAGGUAUAUCAGAUCUGCUUGUCUUAGAGCUACUUGUAGUUCGGGAUGCUUGUCAUUGGUGUUGUUGUUCUGGUUUUUUGCAGGUGGAUUUCGAAGGGGAUGCUGAAUUGGUGGCCACCUACAUUUGCGAAAGGCACGUGUUCCUAAGCGCAGGGGGCACCAUUGUCCGAGAAAUCAUCGAGAUGCUCUCCUCUUCUUCGGGGUUUCACCUACGGAAAUAAUUUCCGGCCGCAGCUAGUUUGGGCCGGAACGAGCGGCCAGCCGGGGCCUAUUUUUUUUAAAAAAAAUUCUGAAAUUAAUUAUUAAUUAUUGUGAUUAGUAUAAUUAGAGAAUUUUUAGGGUAUGAUUAGUGUAAUUAGAGAAUGUUAGUGAAUAUUUAGAAUAAUUAGGGUUUUGUUAGUGAAUAAUAAUUAGGAUUUUGUUAGUGAAUAAUAAUUAGGGUUUUGUUAGUGAAUAUUUAGGAAAAUUAGGGUUUUGGAUUAGGGUAUUAGGGUUUUGUUAGGAAUAAUAAGAAGUGAACCUAGUUGAGUAGAAUCCGAAUUUUAUUAGAAACAUUUGUUUGUUUAAAUGCAGUUUAGUGACAAAUAUGGCGAAAAAGAAAUGCGGAGGUAAAUCGCACAGUCGAGAUCCGGUAGAGGAAGAAACCGAUGGGAUCCAGAGAAUGAGAGGGAAAGGAAAACAAGCGGGCGUUUUAGAUCGGAUGAAAGAGCGAGUGGUCACCGCUUCGCGNNNNNNNNNNNNNNNNNNNNNNNNNNNNNNNNNNNNNNNNNNNNNNNNNNNNNNNNNNNNNNNNNNNNNNNNNNNNNNNNNNNNNNNNNNNNNNNNNNNNNNNNNNNNNNNNNNNNNNNNNNNNNNNNNNNNNNNNNNNNNNNNNNNNNNNNNCCACAGACUUCUCCGCACAUGACUUAUCCACACAUGGCUCCUCUACACACGAGCUCUCCGCACCUCGCAUCUACGGGCUCAUCACAUGCCUCCGCGAGUGUCAGCGUGAGAGGAGGGAAACCUAGCCGAACGAAAGUUCCGAAGGAGGACCACCCGUUGGGCUCGAACGAAAAAUUCGGCCGCAAGAGGCCCCGGCCGGAAGCUCGUUUCAGCCGGAGUGGGCCCCGGCCGGCCUGCCGUUUCAUCGGUACAAAGUUUCUCGAAUUAUACAUUUUGAUAGUUUUGUCAAUACUAAGUUUUUCGAAUUAAUAAAUUUAGAUAGUUAUGUCAUUACGAAGUUUAGGGCGUUGUUUAAUUCGAAAGUUAGGGCGUCAAAUAGUAGGUAUAUUCCUUAGAUUGGAAUUUUUCCAUUUCUUAUAUUUUACUUUUGGCGGGGUCGUUUUGUGUUAUUGCUCAUAAUUUUCAUCGUUCAGAAUUUGCUCUUCGAAAUUCUUCCGCCAUUUCUGUGUAUUCAAAGUCACUUCCCGCCCUCAACCCGAUUUCCCCGCUUAAAACUAGAAAUCCAUCAUCAAAAACCAAAACCUGCCAAGUUUACACACCAACAGACUAUUCAUCUUCUCCUUCUUUGUAGUCCGUUCUCCCGAUCUGUGUAGAGAGAACCCAAUUCAAUUUAUUUGUAGAUGGACUCUGAUGAAGAGUUUCUGCAAUUCGCCGAUGCCGAGGAAGCCCCUCCUUCUCCAGGUCCUCGAAGGAAGCUAAAACGUUUGAGGAAAGUAACAAGCCCGAAAAAUUCCGAGUAUGCAUCUCCCGUUGAAGACGUGCCUGUGACUUCCCCUUCCCCGUCCCCUUCUCCUUUUGAAACCCUAGUUUCGGCCGAGAACCACGAUGCAAAUGGAUUGGAGGGGCUCAGCUCCAGAUCUGUGUUCGAGUCGAUGAGUAUUGAGGAGGAGAUUAGUAUGAAUGAUAGAGUUGCUAGUGUAGGUAUGGGUGGACGAGUGACUGGAGUCAAAAGGUUGUUGGAAUUCGGAUCCGAUGGCGAGGAACUUGACGGGGAAAAUAGAGAUCAAAUUGCGAGUGUGGGUAUGGACGAAGGAAGUAACGAUUCCAAGACAGUGGAAGCGGAGAAGGAGCGGCAUGUACGAGAUGGAGACGAAGAAAAGAAGGGAAAGUCAAAGAUGAAGAAGAAGAAGAAAUCUCGUGAUGGUGAUGAUGAGAAAGCAAGCUCAGUCGUCUCAUCCAAGAGGGGAGGAGAGAAGGUAACUUUCUUCUUUACCUACGUGUUUUGAACUGAUUUUUAUCCAUUUCUGGUUUUGGUUCGUUAGAAAUUGGUUUUGGCAUGCGCAGGAUAGGAGAAAUCGUCUUAAGGAAUUGCGUGCUGAAUCUCAAAGGUUGUUAAGAGGUAAUACUAGGGGGUUCCUCUUUUGAAUAGGAACGAGAGAUACAUGGCAUUCUUUUUUAUCUUCUAUUAACUUUGUGAUUGCUUUCUUCUGCUUGUUCAGAGACUACAGAUGCAUCGUUUAAACCUCAGCCUCUAAUUCGGAAGCCUGUUUCCACGGUUUUGGAGAAGAUUCGGCAGCGGAAGCUUGAGUUAUUGAAAAGGUACGAUCAAGUGGAACUUCUGAGAGUCUGAUUUAGGCAGCAACCUACUAGAUAGCAGUUGUAAUUAUAAACUGGUUGUUCGUUACAGAUCCACCAGAGUAAAUCUUUCUCCAGCUGAUGACAAUUGUGCUUCUCCUGGGGAUUUCUCUGUGAACCUGGAUUUUGUGGAUGAUCAAGUUGAGGACAUUGAGUAUUCAUACUUUUCCACAUCAGAUGGUGCAAAAGUUUUGGAGAAGCCUGCUGAUAUGGCCGAAAAGUCUGAUGUUCAUGAUGGAGAAGGAUUGAAGGAUACUGAAAGUCCUAACACUAGAAGUUUUGCGCCUGAAAUAGUGAGUUUGCUUUCACUUCAUUUUCAAAGUUUCUUACUAUUGUCCGCUUUGAAUGGAGGGUUGUAUGGUUCAGUUACAUUGACUAAAGGAUAAUAUACAAGGUUUUGCUUGUUGCUAAUCUCGAAUUUGAUACGCAUGAAUUUUACAGUACUGGUAUGAUUGAGUAACAGACGACCGACGUAACAUGUUUUCUUAAUUUUACAGGCCAUGGGAGAGGAACCAAAGCAAACAUUUCGAGCUCCUGUUAAUGAUACACAGGUUUGAUUCCGUUAAGUUUACACUUAAUUUCACUUAACAAGUUUGCAUCUUGAAUCUUAAUCGCCUCACUACUUGUAUGCAGGAUCUCCUAUUUGAUUCACAACCAAGUGACAGUAAAGGUGACUUGUUUGAUGAGACACCUAGCAAUCCUCUAGAAGAAGUUCUUGCCCCAUCGUUACUCACAAUGAAAUUGAAAUUUGACUCUGCUUACCCUCAUGAUUCGUAAGUCCCAAGUCAUUACAAGUCUUCAUGUGCUUCUCUUCUGAAGAUUAUGAUAUGUCAUAGAUAUAAUAAACUUGCAUUUCAACAUCUGUAUUUCUUAAUUAUGGAUUAUUAAUAGCUAAUGCAUUUGGGAAUACUUCUGUAGCUGAGCCCUUGAGGGUUAUGGUCAAUGUUGGUCUCUUUAGUUUUCUAAAUUACACCUUUAAAAUUUCUGAUUUAGUUCCUCGGAUGAAGAGGAAGACAAUGACAAGGAAAAUGUUGAUCCCCAUCGUUCUGGGGCUGUCGAGUUGUCUCGGGAUCCAAUGAAAGCUUUCAUUGAUGAGGAAGCCGAGGAAGAGGAUGACAGUGAUAAUGACUUGCAUCGCUUCCAAGACAAUGAGGAAGACGAGGAUGACCUUGACUUGGAAGAGCUCAAUGAUAUAAUAGCAACUGGAUAUGAGGAGCAGCCUGUUGAUGGAGAAAUGCGCAAUGAACUUCAUCAGAAGUGGCUUGAGCAACAGGAUGCUGUUGGAACAGAACACGUCAUGAAGAGACUGAACUGUGGCGGUUCCAAACUGAAGGAUCCAACAUUGCUCGAGGAAAAAGAAGAGGGAAGUAAAUGUGAAGGAGACUUUCUUGAUGACACUGCAGAGGAAAGCCCUGUUACUAGAAAUGUGAUGCAAAUGCACUUAAAGAAAGCCAAAGAGAUGAUCCACCAAAUGUUUACAGAUAACGAUGAUCUCUAUGUUUCAUCAGAUGAUGAGGAAACUGAAAGAAGCCUUGUGAAACAGCGGAUGCUGGUCAAUAGGGUGAGUGCUUGGCGACAACUUGAAUUAUUAUCCCCCCACCCCACUAUCUCACAGUUGCAAACGAAAUGUAUACAGGAACAGGAGGAUGAAGCUCUGCUUGUACCACCAGCGGAGGAUGAAAGCUCCAACGACACAUUUAGAAUAAAGAAGAUGAACACUGUACUUGACAGUAAGAAGAAAUCCAAGAUAGCAUGUACGUCUUCUGCAAUAUAUUUAAACUAAAUGGGAAGAGACUUGUUUUGCUAUAUAAUUUGCAUACUUGUUGGAUAUCUGACCCUUUUGAUGGUUCUGCAGCCUACUUUAAUCAGCUAUCUAUUGGAGGCAACAAAGCUAAAAUGUCUAAGGUAAAAUUAUUUGGUUGAGGUUGAAAUCUGGUACAAGAUUAAACUGUUCAAAGUAGAAAAUACAAGUGUGAAAGGUGCAGCCUUAGCAGUUAUGAGAUUCGUAAAAUUGUUGUGUUUGCUAUAACUAUUCAUUAUUGCAAACUAUGUUGCAGUCUUCUUUCCUAAAUCGUGGGGCAAAAAAUGGGAAUCAAUCAUUCCAAAAGAAGGGAACGAGCAUAUUGCGGUCUUUCAUCUUUGAAAGAGACGACAGCAAUAAUAGCAAGGACACGGUUUCAAUGAUAGAUGAUUCUUCAGACUCGGUAAGUUCCAAUCCAUCGCCUUAGUUGAUAGAGAAACGCUUUACUUUCAGCUUAAUUCUUCCUUGCUAAUUUUGGGAUCCCUUUUUGGCAGAUUCACAAAGAGCAGAAAGCAAGGAAAGUCACGACCACUAAGUUAAUGAGCUCACAAAUAAGAUCAUCGUCCAGCAGCAGCAAUAGUAGUAGUAGUAGUAGUCAAAAUACUCAAACAAACCCUGGUCCAUCAUUGCAUGACAUUCUAAGGGGGUCGAGACGGAGCACUCUGGCGGAUGGUACAGCUUUCCAAAUUGAACCCAACAACAUCUUUACGGCUUUCAAGUUGGAUCAGAGUUUGGUGAAGAGGUCAGUUGCUGCUGCUGCGGUAUCUGUAAGAAUGGUAUAAAGUAGCCUGUCUAGCUUGGUUGGCAAAAUAUGAAACGGAGUUAGGAUGAAGGGGUUAACUAGUGAAGUGGUUUACAGUUUGAUGAGAGGAUGGACUUAUAGUUUCUCACAAUCUUUGCUUGUAUGUUCUCGCAAAGCAUGUGUGUAGUUGGCUAGUUGCUGAUGCUCUAUGUUCAGCUUCCAAGAUGUUUGAUAUGGUAAAUUACUGUACUUCUUGUUGUCGAACAUCUUUGUAUUUGUUGUCUGAAGCAGUCACCAUAUAUACUCGGUAGUGUAAUAUCAAUUUGGCAAUGGCUUGUUGGCUGUUGCCCGCCCAUUCCUCAUACCCGAUCGGAUUUAUUGCAAGAUCGUGGUUCAACAUCACCCUCUGUUCCAUGUUUGAAAUACUUGCCUUGUAAAACUUGCAUCCACAAUUUCGACGAAUUUUGCAAGCAAGCUUUAUUAGGUGGGUAAGGUUAGGAUCCUUGUGUCACAAUCGGAUGGAGCUUCUCUGGUGACCGGCUAAAUGCCGAAUUGUUGAUAUUUUGAUUCAUAUCUGGCAAAAUGCCUCAGACUGAGCUAAUAUACUCCUACUGUAGCUAAACGAUAAAAACAGACUGGCAAACAAAUCACAGACUGCUCCCCGCUUUUGCCUACUACAUUUAACUACUUGAAUUCUUCGAUAAUAACAAAAAGGUCACUAUUGUGACAAUCCCCCUUUCUUAGCAGUCUUGUCUCAAGACUGAAAAUUUGGAACUGAGCACUGAAAUUGAUCCAAUCUUCCCACGUAGCAUCUGCUUCAGCUUGAUGUGUCCACUGUACCAGCAUUUGAGUGACAGCCUUGUUGUCCUGCUUGAUAAACAUGCGUGCCAAGAUGGCUGCUGGUUCUACAUUCAUGGAGCCUGUAUCAUCCACCUGUGGUAAUGUUGGUUGUGCAUUGGUGCCAUGUCCAAUUGCCUUCUUCAACUGAGACACGUGGAACAUAGGAUGUAUCGAGGUUGUGGCUGGGAGGUCUAGGUGAUAUGCAGCCAUUCCAAUCUUCCUCACUAUCUGGAAGGAUCCAUAGUAUCGAGGUGAGAGCUUAGCACACUGUCUAGGAACUAGACUAACCUGUCUGUAAGGUUGUAACUUUAGGAACACCCAAUCUCCAGCUGCAAAUGUUCUCUCAAUCUUGUUCCUGUCAGCUUGAUGCUUGUGUCAACUCUGAGCUUUGGCCAAGUUCAGUUUGAGCAGAUCAACCAUCUGGUGUUGUGCCUGCAGCUUGCUUUCCACUGCUCCAACAGUAGUUAAGAUUUCCACUGUUCCAACAGUAGUUAAGAGAGGGUUUUGGAUUCCAAAAUAGGGAGGUGGAUAUCCAUAGAGUGCCUCGAAUGGAGUGAGUUGCAGGCUGGUAUGGUGGUUGAUGUACAAAGCUAGGUACUGAUGCCACUGCUUAGGUUUGUUGACGAUCAUGCAUGUGAUGUGAUGUAUUUUCGACACACCUUUUCUCGUUAUAAACUAUAUUUUUGUAUGUCGAAAUGUAUUCAAAUUUGGGUUUUGAGUACAUGUUGGUUCUCUUGCCCCUCGGGGCCGUAUUAUGGUGUUUGGUAUGUUUUUGGUAUAAUGUCAUAUGACGUUUAGAGAUAAAUCAAGACAUGACGGGGAGGCCGGAACAACUCAAAGCGUUCCGACUUUGGAAGAAAGCGUCACUGUUUAGUAUUUUGAGCAUAACUCAUUGAUCCGAAGUCCAAUUGAUGCAAGGUCAGCGGCGUUGGAAAGAUAAUUCGAUUGUCUACAAUUUUUAUGUUGACACUAAUUGUCUACAACUUUGAAUGAAGGAACACGGCGUGUUCCUCCGCUGAAAUUUCCCGAAAAAGUUACAGGGGCCGAACACGACCGUGUUCAUGGAACACGGCGUGUUCCAUAUGGAGCACGCCGUGUCCCACCCCCAGACGGGUUUUCAAGUCAUUUUCCUUCUCCAACUUGGUCCAGAAGCCUAUGCAUACCCCUGAGACCCCAUGGACGAGAUACUUCAUUAUACACAUAUUUUUCGAGCUCUUAGAGAGAGCUAGGGUUCCUCAUCAUUCAUUCUACACAUAUUUCAAGCUCUUAGAAAGCGAGAGAAUCCUAGAGAUUGAUUGAAGCGAUAGAUUAUCACUCUUGGAAAGAGCUAGAGUUCCAGAGAGACGAUUGAAACGAGAGGAUAAACCACGACUGACGAAUGGAAAAUCAUCAAGUCGAAGAUUGGGAUUUCCACGAAGAACAUGUCGUCUUCUCCGAUUUUUCUUCUCUUCUCUUGUGAUUUAUUUUCCGGAACCAUGAGUAGCUAAACUUUCUGUGUUGUUCGGAUGAGAUGAAGCUUUAGCUAAGCUUUGUAUGGAUGAUUUGAUUUGUUAUUGAGGUUUAUUCAGACUUAUGAUGCGUUCUUCCUAAAACCUAAUUUUAGAUUCAUUCUUGUCUGAUCAUCUUGAUUGAGUCAUCGACAUUGAUUUGUGGGUCCGAGAGGAACAUAGGUUGAUAGGUCGCUUAGGAAGAACCCUAGAUUAUUCGUUAGCUCGAGAGAGGAGCGAAUCGUUUAGGCUUUUUGCACGUUUAUCGUUGUGGCAUUUCAUCGAACAUAAGUAAUGCAUUUUGUUUAGGUGUAGAUUAGCACGAGAGAGGAAUCUACGGUUAGACGAAAUAGAUCCUUAGAGGCGCGAGAGUGAUCUAAGACUACAUUAGGAAAUUGCCGAGUUGUUAUAACCUGAAUAACCGAGAUCAUUUAUCAUUCAUUCAUACAUUGCUAGCUUUAGUGGAUUUGAAUCCGAGCAACCUUCAUCUUAUCUUUGAAACUCGAUUCCUUGCAUUUUGAUUUGUUUUAUUUCAGUCAUUAGUUCAUAAUUGGAUACAAAAAUAAUAAAACAAACAAUCAUUACACUGUCACUUGGUCUAGUUAGCAAAUCAACUUGAGUAAUAAGAAUAGAAAGACCCUAGGGUGUGGUUUAUCGGGUUGUUUCUUUUGAGUUCCAUUAUGCAGGAUUAUAAUUGGGAAGGACAGUGGCAAGGUUCCUAUGCAGAAGAUAACUACAACGAAGAUUGGGGUUCUUCACCCAACCAAUAUUAGAUUCACCAAGCUACUACCAGCCGAACUAUGGAGGAGGACAACAACAAUGGAUUAACUUUGGAGAGGAAUCAGAUUCCUAUUGGAAUCCAGACCAAUCACCACCAUCUUUUUUCCAAGACUCGUCACCAACUUUCUACCACCAAAACUACCAUGAAGAUGGUAAAGACUUUGAAAAUCAAUAUUCAGGGCUUGAAUCAUAUCAACCUCCGCAUUCAUAGCCAGUCAGCACGAGAAUAUGAUACAACUAAACAAACUCUAAAAAAUGGUAGAUCAGCUUAAAGAACAAGAUUCUCAUCCUCAAUCACAAGAAGAGGUUGAGAAUGAAGAUGAAUAUGAUAUGGAAAUAUCAGCUGAAGUAGUGGUGGAAGAGUUAUCUUUCUUUAAAGAUAAUCUAGCUGUCCAGGAUGGCAAGUUCGAAGAGUUUGAAAGGAAAGAAGUACCCUUCCUAGAAGACAACCUAAUUUUCCAUGAUGAGGAGUUAGAAAAAUUUGAAAAAGAAGAUGAUGAAGAGUUUGUGGAAGAGGUGUGGGAAGAUGAAGAGCCUCUCCAUUAUGAGAUUCAAUCUACCAUUGAGAAUUUCAUCAUUUGGCAUCCCUCUCCUAUUGUGGUCCCACCAAGAGAAACCGAGACUCUUCUUGAUUCUUGUUUGAUUAUGAAGUACUUAUGUCAGGAAACUGUUAAUGAGUGCUUCACACACAAGAUUCGAGAGGACACUAUCUUGGGAUCAAACCUGCCUUCCCUGGAGGACUUCUCAAGCUACACUAUCAAAUCAGGGAUAGUUGAGGAUAUCAGUGUUGACACACCGUACUACCUCUCCCCUCCUAAAGCAGUGGAGACCAAGAAGAGAUUUCCACUUAAAGGCACAAACUGGAGCUCACAACCCCUUCACCGACUUCUCCAUAAAUUUCUUAGGGUGCUACUUGGCAUUCAACUCCAAUCCUUGAAGAAACUAAUGGACUUCAAGGAGGUUUUAAGUUGGGCGGCCUAACCCAGGUAUCGUCUAGCUCAAAGACGCAAAAGAAAGAGCGCUUCUCGGGAGGCAACCCGAGCGUUGAGUCUUUCUCUUUUAUUUGUUUUUGCUUAUGUCAUUUGGUUGAAAUAUUGUGAGUCUGUUUUAUUUUUAUUUAUUUCUUGUGGUUUGAUGUAACAGAUUGGCACUAGCCUAUCCUCUCUUGUUUCUUUUGUUUCUCUGUGGCUAUAGAACUCAAAUCCUAUUCAAAUGAUGUCUCAAUCUUAUGCACCGACUGACAGGAGUUUCGAUCCUCGUCCAGACUCUACAUAUGCUCAAUAUCGCGAUCUCCAAGUUAGUACCAUAUUUUCUAGACCUAUCUCACUUGAUUAUGUGGUCCAUUGAGGACAAUGUCCUGUUUAAGUGUGGGGUGAAUUAGGGUGCUUCUUAAUUGAUGGGUACAUAACUUGUGAGUUAUCUUGGUGAAUUGCUUUCCUGAAUUUUCGAAAUUCCCUCUUGAGCUUAGUUUGUGGAUGUUAGUAAACGCAUGUUUAGUGUUCUCAUUCUAUUUGUGGAUGUCUUGGAUGUGAGGAUAUCAUUUUUGAACCACUUGCCGUAUUGCCAAAAUUAGUAUACUAUAGAGACUCAUAUAUAUGUUAAAAAAUGAAUUGUUACCUUCCACUGUUUUGUUCUAUGUUGUAGUAGGGUGCAUAUGUAUCUACCCAACAAAUUUGCCUAGGUUGUUAUGAAGCUUAAAACAGGCGGGAGGAGUCCGAAUGAGGUUGCUAAGUAAAAAAAAUUGUCGUGGGGGUUUGGUUGCAAUCGAAACACGUAGGGCGACCCUAGUGGUUUGCCGUCUUCCCUACCUUUAUGAGGCUUGGGGCGUGGGCCGGAGACUGGUUACUUCUGAGUCCGGCUGAAGUUGUGAUUGUUACUUCCGAGUCCGGCUGAAGUUGUGAUUAAUUCCCCCAUUCGGAAAAAGCCGCUAUCUAAAAGAGCAAUAAAGAAAGAAAAGCAAAGAAAGAAACGAAAAGCAACAUUGAAAUAUUUAAACUUUGUUUUCAGUAAACUAUAGAGUUAGCUAGUCAAGUAAGCAACUCAAAAUAAGAGGGAGAUGAUAGCAUAACUAGAGUGCUAUUAAAAAUUGAAGCACCUCCUCGCUCAGGACGGAAGAGAAAUCCCGGCCAGGACGAGCUGUCGGUCUGUUACUUCCACUAGCAACUAGAAGGUAUAAGUGUUUGGGGGAUAUGGAUACAUUCUAGUGGAUAGGGGUCAAAUCAUUUAUAUCAUAUGCAUGAGUCUAUCUUAUACUAAUUCAAGGGAUUCGGUGUCUCAUGCCUAAUUGUGUGGUUUGUUGAUUGACUUGCGUUCCUGAACACUAUGAUAGAAUUAAGUACCUGAGCUUCGUCUUCUGAUCAUCAUAUGUUGAGUUAUUUAUAGACAGCGAUUAGUAGAUUUUCUUGAGGAAAAGCAAGCGCUUAAGUGUGGGGUGAUUUGAUGUGAUGUAUUUUCGACACACCUUUUCUCGUUAUAAACUAUAUUUUUGUGUGUCGAAAUGUAUUCAAAUUUGGAUUUUGAGUACAUGUUUGGUUCUCUUGCCCCUCGAGGCUGUAUUAUGGUGUUUGAUAUGUUUUUGGUAUAUUUCAGAUAUCAUAUGACGUUUAGAGAUAAACCAACACAUGACAGGGACGCCUGAACAACUCAAAGCGUUCGACUUGGGAAGAAAGCGUCACUGUUUAGUAUUUUGAGCAUAACUCAUCACUUUGAAGUCCAAUUGAUGCAAGGUCAGCAGUGUUGGAAAGAUAAUUCGAUUGUCUACAACUUUGAUGUUGACACUAUGGUCAAAUUCCGUAUAAUGAAGGAACACGGCCGUGUUCCUGGCCGUGUUCGGCCCCUGUAACUUUCUCGGGCAAUUUCAGCGGAGGAACACGCCGUGUUCCAUUUGGAACACACCGCUUUCCUUCAUUAUACGGAAUUUGACCAUAGUGUCAACAUCAAAGUUGUAAACAAUUGUCCCGACUUGGUCCAGAAGUCUAUAAAUACCCCCGAUACCCCGUGGACGAGAUAUACUUCAUUAUACACAUAUUUUCUGUGUUGUUCGGAUGAGAUGAAGCUUUAGCUAAGCUUUUGUAUGGAUGAUUUGAUUUGUUAUUGAGGUUUAUUCAGACUUAUGAUGCGUUCUUCCUAAAACCUAAUUUUAGAUUCAUUCUUGUCUGAUCAUCUUGAUUGAGUCAUCGACAUUGAUUUGUGGGUCCGAGAGGAACAUAGAUUGAUAGGUCGCUUAGGAAGAACCCUAGAUUAUUCGUUAGCUCGAGAGAGGAGCGAAUCUUUUAGGCUCUUUGCACGUUUAUCGUUGUGGCUUUUGGUCGAGAGAGGAAUCUACCAUUAGACGAAAUAGAUCAUUAGAGGCACGAGAGUGAUCUAAGACUACAUUAGGAAAUUGCCGAGCCGUUAUAACCUGAAUAACCGAGAUAAUUUAUCAUUAAUUUAUACAUUGCUAUAUACAUUGCUAGCUUUAGUGGAUUCGAAUCCGAGCAACCUUCAUUCCUAUUUGAAACUCAAUCUCUCGAAUUCGUUUAACUUUAAAUUGCACACUUAGUUGUUAAUUAGUUACUUAAAACAAACUGAAAACAAUUUCGACCUGUUACUUGGUUUAGUUAGUACAUCAACUUGAGUAAUAAAAAUAGGAAAACCCUAGGGAGAUUUACGAUCCCACUAGAGCAAUCUAGUGGGUAGUUGAAAGCGAGGUAAAAUCCGUUCAUCAGCAUGUGAGGUAGUCCUCAAUGCAUCUUUUAAGUGGUUCUGUUUGGCCAUCGAUUUAUGGAUGGUAUGUUGUGGAGUACAACAGUUUGGUGCGUUGGAGCUUGAAUAAUUCCUUCCAGAAAAUUGCUUGUGAAGAUAGCAUCUUUGUCUGAAACUAUUGUUUUUGGCAUCCUAUGUAGUCUAAACACCCCUUCCAUGAAGGCUUUGUUACUAAUUAGGAGUAGAAUUAGGAAAGAGAGAAGAGAGGUAGGGAAGAGAGAAUUAAUAGAGAAAAAGUUGUUAGGGAAUAUUCCUUAUUGAUUUUCCAAAUAGACAGUUGUCUUAUGUAAAUUCAAUUGUACAGUUAUAGAAAUCAUCUCAUUUGGUCCUUCAAUUACUGAAAAUAGCAAAACAAAACAUUGAAAAGUUGUAAACAGAUCACUAUGUGAUAGAGCCAAUAGUCUCCAAAAAUAAUGAAAACAAGUGAAUGUGAUGGAACUCUAAAACUAUAAACGAACCGUCUAAUUCUUCUAUCAAUUUCCUAGCAAGUACAAGCUGGCGAGAGAGAGAAAGAGGGCAGGAGUUACCCAACCUAUAAAAGAGAGAUUUCAUAUUUUCUAUUUAGAAAGUCACUUAUCAGUCUAGUCCAAUAUGUCUUUGAUACAUAGUCCUUGUAACAUGACCAUCCGAUAGCGAGAUACCAAAAUAACAACCCGAGCCGAGUGGUAUGUAAACCAAAUGCAAAACACAAUGAUUGAGAAGAUAAAUAAUAUGGUAUCCUAAAUUUAAUAGAUUUAGUAUGGGAGAUGAUUAUAUUCAACUACUGAAAAGUUCAACCAGAUUCAACAAAGAAAAUCGGAGGGGUAGUCUUGGUACUUCAUAAACAUAUAUUUUCUAAUUUAUUUUUAAUCCUAAUUGCUUUUGCAGGUCAUCUUCUCCAUUCCAUCUACGACGACGGCCGUGGGAUGCGGCAGGGCUGAUGAUGGCAAUAGUCGAGCUUCUUCAAACAUCGGUAUUGGUGAUCAGAGGACCCAGGGGUGGGAAUCGGGAGGAAGGAAACCCCAAGAAAUUGAUGGAGGAGGAUUCAAUCUGGAGAAAGACGAGAUUGAUAGAGAUGGACGAGAUCUAGAGGCUGAGAAACUUACCAGAAAUCGACGGUUGGCGGCAUCGUGGCUGCGACGGUGAAGGAUUGACGGAGGAGGAGACGAAUCGGCGUCGGCAAUGUGCCCGAUGCUUUGGAGAAGAUGAAUUGAAAAAUAUCAAUUUCAGUCCCUCAAUAUUUCACUAUUUCAGACCACAAAGUUUCGUAAAUUGCUAACGCAAUCUGUUCAACUACUGUAACCCUCGGCUCAUUGGAUUUGUUUUACUACAAUACUGGCCCAAAACAGUUGCAAACCUCUAUUAGUCGCG
Molecule: long non-coding RNA, 53216 nt
Filed under: Linum usitatissimum (flax)
Lineage: Eukaryota; Viridiplantae; Streptophyta; Magnoliopsida; Malpighiales; Linaceae
Description: long non-coding RNA (LUSI_LNC008061)
Source: RNAcentral